Molecule: long non-coding RNA, 50305 nt
Filed under: Sorghum bicolor (sorghum)
Lineage: Eukaryota; Viridiplantae; Streptophyta; Magnoliopsida; Poales; Poaceae
Description: long non-coding RNA (SBIC_LNC001641)
Source: RNAcentral
UUAGAGAACCUUUAUUUAUUUUGUAUGAAAAAGGGACAUGAAAGAAAACCAUUCUCCGAAUAUAUCAAAACAUGUAUAAGGCUGCCCGUGAAGUAGAAUCGCAUCCCCAUCCACAGAUUUAGUUGUAGGCGUCGGGGUUGGCGACGAGGUAGGCCUCGGCACCCUUGAAAAUGGCGGUGAGUGCCUCCUUGGCCUUGGCUUCCUCGUCCUUCUCGUCCAUGCCCGGCAGCAACUUGUAGGUCGACUCCACCUUCACCACGCUGCCGCCGUCGGCCGUGGGCUCCACCUUGAUGUGUGACGCCGCGGUCUCGAUGGCAACACCGAUGCCGCCGCCCUCGACGAGCGUGUUCUUGCACUCGCACUUGUCCACGUCCAGGAAAUCGAGCCUCUCCUUCAUGAAGCUGAACGGCAUGACUGCAAGAACGAUCGCGCACGUCAUUCGCUAGCUAUUUGAUCGAUCGAUCGGGCGACAACAUGUUGGUCUGGGCGACUGGGCAUGCUGCGGACACUUACAUGAGGUGAAGUUGAACUGCCUGACGCUGCCAACGCCGCCGUCGCCCUCCACGGGGUGGGCGCUGGCGACGACGUGGGAGGCGACCUUGGGCGCCAGGGUGUGCCAGUCCAUCACGGCGGCGCGGAACAGGCGCGGCGCGGCCACCGGCGACGGAAUCUCCAGGGUCCAGCUGCUGGCGGAGGCCAUUACUUCAGUGAUCGGCCGAGAUAAACUAAACUAGGUGCGAGCCGAAGCUGCUUAGGUGCUUGUGCUGCUGCAGGUGGUUUUAGGAUUGCGCUUUUGCUUGCGUUGCCAUUAGAGUGGCGGACGGAGGACUUUAAAUAGGCGGUUAUGGCGGGGUUGGUGGCGUCCCGUGAGGAUGAGACGCUCGGGAGUCGUCGUCGGCGGCUCUUCCCACUUUGGCUUGGCACGGCACCGUCGCUCGUCGGUCCAUGUAGUUCAUUAUAAUAUACUACAUGUUGCCGGGGUUGCGGACAAACGUCUGGAAACGUGCUGCCAUUCCGUCAGCGUUCAACCCCUGAAGGUGUAGAAUAUAUAUCGUCGAAUUGGCGAGCCAAAUCAGCUUCCAGAUCAAAAAGCAUGUACUGUAAGCGUGGGUUGGUGUCAUUAGAAACGAGAAUUAUACCGUACGUGAGCGUCCUGACUACUUGCAUCACUCUUUUGGUGUCGCACUGUCGCUAUUAACUACUAAUAAUAAACAUAAUCCUGUAAAUCCACCUCUUUUUAAUCAUCCUAUAAAUACCUCUACUGGCGACAGCAUGGACAAAGCUCAUACGGAAAAUAACAUAGUGGUGGCCAAAGCUGUAUGGGAAAAUAUUGAUUGCAGACUAUCAAUUGGGUGCAAAAGUACUCAGUGUAAACUAUUAAUUAAGUGCAAAUAUAAAGACAAUUGCUAUGUCACAGUUGAUUGUUUUAGCCUCCGUGAAUAACUGAUUUCCUGGCCGUUUGAUUCUUAUCACGUGGGAUGAAAGAAAGACCAACAACGCUGCGGAAGCAGAGCGUGAGGAAGGACCGAAGGAGCCACCAGGGGUCCACUGAUGUCGCCAUUAGCACCAAGGAGAGGCCGUCGUCAGAGUCAGAGUCAGGGUUGUAGAGGGCUAUCACGUCCGUUGUCGAGGUCGGGGUGGGGUAAAGAUGGCAAUGGAUAAUUACCCGCUGGGUAUAUGCUACCCAUACCUUUACCGAUGAGAAAAUAUUUUACCCGUUAAUUUACAUAUCCAUGUAUGGGUAAGAGUUUUUUCCCAUACCCUUACCCACGUGGGUAACGGGUAAUCCAUGAGUUUUCUUACCCAUGAUUCUAAGAAUACUUGUAAAAAAUAAAUACAUAUUUAAAUAUUCUAGACUCCCAAUUUCAGCCAAAGUAUCAUAAGUCAUUAAUAAAAUCAUCAAAUAUACAAGCUCCAUGAAUACCUAAUCAAGUAAUCUAAUAGAUAAAUCCAUCAUUACUAGACAACAAGUGACAAAAUUUACAAGUUUCCGUGUUGUGCGGCCGCCGCAAGGAGAUAGGGGAAAGGUGAGAGAGCGGAUGUGUGAGGUACUAAGGUGAGGGCCUAGAGUUUGACAGCAUUAUAUAUGAUUUUUAUUGGACUUGGCCUGUGUAUGGUGAUUUUGGUCCAUAAUUCUAACUUAUUGAAUCGGGUCCAAUCCCAUACCCUUACUCGCUUUACCCGCUGGCUAAAGCUUUUUCCCAUUAUCUUACCUAUGGAUAAAAAAAAUAGUCAUACCUUUACCCUAAUGAAGUAAUUAACCAUCGGAUUUCGAGUAAAAAUUGACAUCUUUAAGGUGGGGAAUGGCCGCCGCAUCUACCAUAGCCACCUGCUUCCUGAGAUCCAUGGGGAAAGAGCCCGCCGCUAGCCGAGGGUGAGGAGCCGCCGCCUCUGUGUGGCCAACUUCAUGUCGGGCCUCUACCGUGGCGGGGGUAGCUCACAGAAGGGAAGGGAUAAAGUUGGUGAGGGUGGGUCCCACCAUAAUUGGUGAAUAAUUUGCCAUGUAUUUCUCUAAUAUCUACUAUCUAAAGAAAUAUUUUGUAUUUUUUUCUGAAAAGUUUGGCAUAUUUGUCUUUGAGAUAUGUAAUCUAUAAAAAUACCUAAGAUAUAUCACUAUAUCCAAUAAAUGACACUAUGUGUUAGCAUUUUCUCACUACAUUUUCAAAGGUGUUAACACACUAGAUUCUAAUGCAUAUGCAUUAUCAACAACAGCUAGUGACACUUGAUAAACCGCUUUUAACCAUAAUUUUCCUCUCUUUAUAGUACAGCUAUCUAGUCGACUAGUCCAAACCCAAUUAUAUCCUCUAUGGUAUCUUGAUUGGCGAAACAAGAAUGGCCCUAUCACAUACCUUUGCCUUAAGCUCAUUUUUAUUUUUCUCUUUCUUUUUUUCCAAGUUGGAGCACUUGAUCUUCACACUUGACCACCUCCAUCAUCUAUAGAUGCCAUAAUCUAGCUGGUGUGUACCAAUCCUAUUUCCUAUCUUAUAUACACCUAAAGCAAUGGUUAGUAGACUUAGAUCUCAUCAAUUAUCCGAAACUAAACUAGAACUUUCAUGUAGUGACACAACAUCUACUUUCUCUCACCCUUCCUCUUUCAUGGAAUGCAAGCAUUCAUACAUCAUUAGUAUGUUGUAUGUAAUGAGUCUCUCUAGCACAAACACCGACUGUUCUUCCGAAAUCACCUUUGGGAAAAAAUAAUCCACAGUCUGUUUGCCACCGUCUUAGAAGCAAUCUUAUAUAUCAUGUUACAUAGACUGAUGAUAGGCCAAAACAGCCCGCUCGACCAACUUCUCCACUUUUGUGAUCAAUACUAUUCAUGUGCUAUUUAUCACAGAAGGAUCAUCCUCGCCACAUAAGUCCUAGUGCCGCUAAAAAAAAUGAGCAGGAAAACCAUCUGGCCCCGGCGUUUUUGUCUUAAACAUGUGAGAAAGCUUAGUCCUGAUCUCCUCCUUUCGUAUACAAGGCGAGUGUCCUGACAACUACUUGCAUCACUCUUUUGAUGUUGCACUAUCGUUGUUAGCCUUAUCAUUAACUCCUUUCCUCUCUAAUCUCUAGAAUUAAGCAAAGAUUUGAAUGCUUUCUCAAUUUACCAUCAUAUAAUUAUUAUAUUAUAAUAUAAUCAAAUAAAUACACCUCUUUUUAUUCAUCCCGCAAAUAUAUCUAGUGGCAAUGAGUAUGGAAAGAGCUAAUACGAAAACUAUCAUAGUGGUGGCCAAAUACAUGAGAAAAUAUUCAGUGCAAACUAUAGAUUGGGUGCAAACAUAAACCCUUUAUAACAUAAUUAGAUGUUUUCUUAAAAAAAUGCCCACUUCGCCACUAAAGUUAAGAUACAAAGAAAUGGGGUGGGGGUGUGAUGCAAAGAUAUUGGAGAGUGAAUCUCUUCUUUCAAACCUCCCAAGAAACUAGUCACAAAGUAAACAUAAUCGUAGGAGCUAUUGUACAAUAGAAUUUGAUGCGCAGGCUGUUCAAGCUACUCAAAUUACUGUGACCGAACUAGUCUACUGAAGAUGAUUGUUUCAUACAUAACUCAUAUUGGUCACGAUUAAAAUAAUUACAAACCGCAUCACAAGAGCAGGCCAAGAUGUGAAACAACCACACAACUCUUUAAAUUGUAACCAAGUGGCAGCGGUCCUCCAGAACUCAAUGCAACAGAGCUAGGCUUCAAUGUCUCGCUGAUAGAGUACAUCUCAAAAUAGAUCUUACAGUGAUCCUUCCACAACCAUAAAUUGUCACCAUCAAAUUUGGGGAAAUAUGAUUUGGGCAUCGGACCAACUGGAGAUGUAUAAGAAUAUGAAUGUUCCAUCGGUCCACCUAUCAUUCCCUUGUACUUGCGUGCCCGUUAGUUAGCUAUUAUGUUCCUCUUUUUUAUUGGAUCCCAAACACCUCUGCUUCUAGACCAACUUCCAUCGUCGUCUACACAUAUCCCAUGGAGUUAGAGCAAGUUUAAUUAAUACAGUCCACUUGCUGACUGUAAGGUUCCUUACAGCCUUCUUUCAGCCCCACCCAUACAAUAGUUAGUUAUUCAUUAUUAAUACAUGACUCACUUAUCUCUCUUACAAAGUUUUCAGCUUACAACAUGCUUCUCUUCUCUCUCCUCCACCUCAGUAUUUAGCCAGCUUACAGCCCACUAUAAUACUUGCUCUUAUGACAAAUGCCUACUUCUCUCGCCUUUUUAGUGAACACUAUAACUCCUGGAGUCUUCAUAUUAUUCGAAAAAUAAAUUCAAAUUUCAACAAUGACACAUUCAGCAGAAUAAAAAGUCUCCAAAUUUCUAUUAAAAAAGAGCAAACAUUCCUUAUUCAGUCAAACUUGCAAAGGAUUUCAAAACAGAAGACCUCGUAUAACCAUGAGGGUGUAAGUAAUCUCACAAACAAAGCAUCACAAACCACUUAUAAUCUCAAGUCCAUACACGGUACACCACACACUGCAUAGAGCAACUUUAUUUUGUUUUGUAUGAAAAAAGAGGAAAACUCCAGGAAAGAAAAAAGAAAAUUAAACCCAAACUUCAGGAAGGGGAAUCGCAUCCCAAUCGACUGAUUUAGUUGUAGGCGUCGGGGUUGGCGACGAGGUAGGCCUCGGCACCCUUGAAAAUGGCGGUGACUGCCUCCUUGGCCUUGACUUCCUCGUCCUUCUCGUCUACGCCAGGCAGCAGCUUGUAGGUCGACUCCACCUUCACCACGCUGCCGCCGCCGGCCGCGGGCUCCACCUUGAUGUGCGACGCCGCGGUCUCGAUGGCAACACCGAUGCCGCCGCCCUCGACGAGCGUGUUCUUGCACUCGCACUUGUCCACGUCCAGGAAAUCGAGCCUCUCCUUCAUGAAGCUGAACGGCAUGACUGCAAGAACGAUCGCGCACGUCAUUCGCUAGCUAUUUGAUCGAUCGAUCGGGCGACAACAUGUUGGUCUGGGCGACUGGGCAUGCUGCGGACACUUACAUGAGGUGAAGUUGAACUGCCUGACGCUGCCAACGCCGCCGUCGCCCUCCACGGGGUGGGCGCUGGCGACGACGUGGGAGGCGACCUUGGGCGCCAGGGUGUGCCAGUCCAUCACGGCGGCGCGGAACAGGCGCGGCGCGGCCACCGGCGAUGGAAUCUCCAGGGUCCAGCUGCUGGCGGAGGCCAUUACUUCAGUGAUCGGCCGAUCGACUAAACUUGUGCUAGCUGAAGCUGGUUAGGUGCUCAGCUCUAUGGGUGGCAGCUACUGCUUGUGUUGCCAUGACACUGGCGGACUGAGGGCUUUAAAUAAUAGGCCGUUAUGGCGGGGGUUGGUGGCGUCCCGUGAGGAUGUGUAUGAGACGCCCGGGACGGAGUCGUCGUCGGCUCUUCCCACUUGGGUUGGCUUGGCACGGCACCGCGUGACUCAUCGGUCCAUUAGUCCAUUAUUUUAUCGAUAUCAAUAUGUAUGUUGCCGGGCUGCGGACAGCCGGACACACGUCACCAAACGGGCUGCCAUUCCGUCAACGUUCAACAUCUAGAAGGUGUGGAAUAUGUCGUCGAAUGGCACACCGUCGGGUCUGUUUGGAACGAAAGUGAGAGAAAAUACAGGAAAUAGAUAAGGAAUACAAUGGUCCUGUUUAAGUUAGAGGUUAGAGUUAUUCUCUAGUUUAUGACUAGCCCUCAAGUAACUCUAGCCAAAGAGAUGUUUGUAUGCAAGGGUUAGUGUUGAUGCAAAACUGAUCUGCAAACACAAAGGGCUAAUACCCGAUCCAAACGUUAAGGCGUGCCAGCCGAUUUAACCUUACUAUCGGCAAAGGUGAUAACUCGAAUACUUUAGUCCUGACAACAGCGAUGCGCCCGGAUGUCACGGCUAAGAGGUACUCACGCGGAACUUGAGAACACGCCGAGCUUAAGUCGACGAAUUCCUAAGAACUCGUAGUAAAAAGGAAAAAGUACGACGAAGUCGUCGAAAAAGUAGAUGCUGGAAUAUGAGUAAAAACGUGUGUUUGAUUGAUUGAUAGAUAGCUCAUUACAAGGCCCUAGGGUCUAUAUUUAUACCCUGCUCAAAGAGCUACAACCAGACACGAUUAGAAUUCGAAUUCCAAACUACACGGAAUCCGUAUACAAAACGAUGUAAAUAAUUAAAGAAAUAACAAAACUAUCCCCCGUGACAAACUGAAACUCCUCCAUACAACGACCGGCAGCUUCCGGACUCCCUCUUUGCAUCAUCGGCAGAUCUUUUGCCAUAGUCAUCGGCAGACUUUCUUAUCCAGUCAUCGGCACAAUCAUAUCACUGCCUGUAGACUUAGUCACGUUCAACUUCUCCUUCAUCGGCAACCAUCCUCAUCGGCAACUCACCCUGUAAACAUCGUACUGCCAUCUUAUCCUGCCAUCCUAGACACGUGCACAAAAACGGUGUCAACACAUGCCCCCCAGUUUCGGAGUAUAAAACUAUUAAUGCUCCGAAAUUCUCUGCAGUAAUGAUGCCUUUUCCCGCAAUUAAUGCUCCUAAUCUGGUAACCGACAACCUCAAUCUGAACAACUCUGAUCCUAUUCCUCCGCAGAUUCCUCGAAAUCCCCAACUUCCUAAACGGGCAUUUCUUCUCAGUCGUACGUCGGCAAUAAUACCGUUACAAAGAUUUGCCGAUGUUCUGACCAGGAUAUUCGCACAAAUGGUUACUUCCCCUCGAUCCGCCCAUCGGCAAUAUGACCGUUAUAGAAUGCUGCCGAUGGACCGACCAGGAGAUCUAGCACAGUAAAAUAUCUUCAGAUAAUGACCGCUUCCCGUCAAAUCACCUGCACAAUCCCUGGAUUAUCGUGCGAACAGUUACCAUAUCUUCCUGAGUACCCUCGGAUCUCUCGGAAGCGGCAAAGAGAAAAGUCAGAUUUGCCCUUGCCCAUUUCGUCCUAUAAAUAGUUCCUUCUCGGGUACUCCUUCCCUAUCACAUCAUUCCACCACCCAAGUUUACUUUUCCAGCGGCGGCGCCAUCCGAAGCUCCCAAGACCUCCAACAAGCAUUCUUCCUCAUCAACCCCGGUGUCUUCAAACACUUCCUUCGCAGCAAGAUGGCCGUCGGCUUCGUCGUUCCUGAGGUCAAAUCUCCACCCCGUCUCCUGUAUUUUUCUUCAUAUCCCUGUUCACUCGCAAUUCAUUUUACUGAAUAUCUCCCUUUUCUUUUCUCUUUGUAUUUCUUUUUAUCCCAAAAAUCACUAGGAAUUGUCCAAUAAAAUUGUCAUCCCCACUGAUCAACCACACCUCCAAUGUCUCGGUCCUCUAGGAGAUCCAGAUCCAACCGACCUUAUUAAUGCAGAAACCAACAGGAUCCCCUUUAGAACUGAAAAUUUUUCUUUAGAUCUGUGGAAAGAUACCUUCCGUUCUUGGCCUAGCCCUACCGUAGGGUGGAAAGACUGGUUCUUGAGAGUCAGCAAUUCUUAUGAAGUCCAGUGGGGCGAAAGGAAGCUAGCCCAAUGCAUUAGAUUGUCCAUUGCCGAUAUGCAUAGGAACGAGUCAUGCUGAUAGCUGCAUCCUACUUUUGGUCAGACACCCUCAAUGCUUUCGCCUUUGGCCACGGCCCUGCUUCUCCUACCCUUGCCGAUGUGGCCAUGCUUACUGGUCUAGAUAUAUCUUCUGCCGAUAGCACCUACUUUUUUGAUACUGCCCCUAGUGCCAAAGUGGAGACUCGCGCUAUCGGCGGUUGGUCAGGGUACAUUCAGAAGUACCGUGGGAAAGGAUCCGUCACCAUAAAGGAACAAACCACCUUUCUGAACAUGUGGCUGGACAAGUUUGUAUUCUGUGGUCGAUCGGCAGGACCAACUUCCGUUUAUCUAUCGGCAGCGGAGAGACUGGCUAACGGUGGCCAAUUUCCUCUCGGCCGAUACUUGCUUGGCGCUGUUUACCACCUUCUCCAUCAGGUAGCCCAGAAACUCCUGCUCGGCCAGUCCAUCGGCAACCUGGGAGGCCCCUGGUGGUUUAUUAAUAUGUGGCUCAAUCUGCACCUGCAUAAGCGCCUUGAUUUCAACUUGUUCACACAGCACUUCCCAAGAGAUAUAGCCGAAAACCAUGUGUUGGGUGAAGAGGAAUCGGCAACGCGUGCCCCCUUGAACUUUGGCGAAGCUGUCAUCGUUCUACCUGGUUCAGGGAGUAAUCCGGAUCAGAUCGGCCGAUUCUUCCAGGUUCUGUAUGAGGGUUUGGCCAGAGACGAACGACCAUGGUUGGCUUAUGAUGACCCAGAUAGCAUGCUCCCUCUGUCCUUCAAUCCAUUUGAUGAAGCUCUCGACAGGGACAAUGAGACGAUGAUGGCAAUUGUGACUCCCAGAAUCAUUCCAGUGAAUUUUUUUUGGUAGCACAAAAACCUCUCCUCAGACUUAUGAAUUUUACAAUCCAUCGGCAUUAGCUCGCCAGUUAGCUUUCGGCCAGUUGCCGAUUGCACUUCCUUAUGCCGAUGUGAUAAAACCCAGAGAAACCAUCAACAACCUCCUUGAGUGGAUUCGAGUAGCCCAACUACCACCAAACGCCGAUACAGAUGUAGAUCUGUCAGAAUGGGUUCCGGCUGCUUUUAUCACUCAGGCAUACAAGUUAUGGUGGGCAGAGUGGAAAGAGCAUCUAUUCUGCAGAUCGGCCCUUUCAUACCGCGGCAUGAUCGACUCCGAAUACGAAGUUCCCGAUGACACUGUAAGUAACUCAAACCGAUGUUCCAUUUUCUCAAUACUAUUUCCAUCGAUAGCUUACCCUUGUAUUCCUUUCGCAGGUUGACAACAUCCCCCCAUCGGUUAGCAGGAGCGGCAAGCCGAUCGACUUGUUUCCAUCAGGCCCGAUUUCCUCCAUCGGCCACAAUGCUCCUAUCCUGGCUUCCAUCGUGCAUCGGGGUGUGCGUCUCAGGAAAGUCACCACCAGGAGAACCCAGACAUCACCAACGGUAGCUGCUCCCACUCUGGCGCGGGCUUUCAAGGAAAUUUGUCAAAUCUUUUCCUUUAUGCUGACUAUCUUUAUAUCGGCUAUAUUUAUGCUUAUAAACUCUUGUUCGUUAUUGCAGCAAACCGGCGCAUCGGCGAAAGCCAGGCGUGAAAGUGCCGAUGCCCCCCAGUCUAGCCAACCAAAGAGAAAAGGCACCACAGGUGCUAAGACUGGAACAAAGCGCCAGAAGGUAGCAACUCCCCCUCCUCCUCCGGUGUCUCCAAUUCCGGUGGAGUCUUCUCCUUCUUCUCCAGAAGCCCAGCCACAGCAAGCACCGUCUCCCCAACCUAUGCAGGAAGCACCACAGAUAGAAGAACCCCAGCAGGAAGGAUCCCAAACAGAAGGUACAUCAGCUGAUGUGGGUGGACAAACAACUGGCCCGGAGGGUCCAAUUACACCAUCGGCGGUUCUCCCGAUUCAGACAACCGUUGUUCCACCUCCAGGUAACAUACUUUAACAAUACCGCUACCGAUGAACUUAUUCCCAUUUAGUCUCAUAACUCCUCUUAUCUUCUUUCAGCUGAUAUCGUUCCAUCGGCAACCUCAGCCGAUCAACCUGUAGUUCCAUCGGCAUCUUUGGCCGAUCAGCCUGCAGCUCCGUCAGCACUUCUCAGUCAAAGACAAGAGAUCGCCUUGAAGCAAGUAAGUCACCGUUUACCGUUAGCAUUAUUUGCCGAUUCUCUGAAUAUGAGCUAACUUUGCUUUCCCUCCCAGGAACAAGAUUCUCCCGACAGCCUGUUCUCCUUCGCCAUCGAUCUCUCUGAAGAAGAAGGUGAAGAAGCAAGCUCUUCUCAGGCAGUCGGCAUUACAUCGGCAGAGAUCAGGGUCAGGCUGGAAGAAUUGUCAGCUCUCCUUCAUCAGGACACAGCACAAUUGGUUGAUGACUCCGAUCCUACCAAGACCCUGUUCAGAACUCUCAGAGGCCAAAUCCCAGCCGAUGUCGAAGAAAUCCUAUUCCAAGCCGCUCAUCUGGAGAGUCGCCAGCUACAGUACCAGAGAGCUUCUCGGCGUCUUGCCGAUAGAGCCGCUCAGACUCAACUCUCCGAUGAAAUGAGGAAGGAGAAGCUCUUGACCGAUGAGAAGCACAAGAACAUCGGUAUCCUGAGAUCUUCUGGAGACGCGCUGAAGAAGAAAAUAUCCGAUCUGUCGGCAAGAAGAGAAUCCCUGUUGGCGGAGCUCAAGGAAGUGGAGAACGCCCUAUCCCAAGCCCAACAGGAAGAGAGCCAAUUGUCAGAGACCAUCAGGCUUCUUGAGCACGAGCGAAACGCUCAUGGUCGCAAGGCACUUCAACUGAAGAAGAAGCUGAAGCCGAUAGAAGGUUCUGCCGAUGAUGACAUCAAGAAAAUAGAAGCAGCCAACCAAAUUCGGCUACGCGCUAUAUCGGCAAUCCAGGCGUUGCUUAAUACAUAGAGUUUCCAUUGGAUUUAUAUCCGUGCUUUCCUGCUUCCUCAGCUUUUAGUCUAGCCGAUAGGACUGUUAUCGGCACCUAAACUUUUGAAACACCAAGUCUUGUCCCCAAACAUUUGGAUCCAGUCGAUAGGAGUGUUAUCGGCACUUAAACUUCUAUGCAUCGACCCAUAUACUGGGGUAGUACUUCUUUAAAUAUUUGCCGUUUAAUGCUCUGGGAAAUUCAACUCCUUCGAGGGUUUCUAGAAUGUAGGCAUUACCAGGAGCCGAUCGACUUAUCCGAUAAGGACCCUCCCAAUUAGGAGACCACUUUCCAAACUUCGAACCUUUAGUCCCAAUUGGUAGAAUUAAUUUCCACACCAAAUCCCCAUCGGCAAACUCUUUAGCCUUCACUUUCUUAUCAUACCAUCUAGCAACUCUCUUCUUAUUUUCUUCUAUACUCAUUAAAGCUUUUAACCGAUGCCCUGCUAGAUCAUCCAAUUCAUCGGUCAUUAAAGUGGCAUAAUCAUCGGCAGUUAAUUGAUCUUGAAAAGAUAAUCGCCUAGAUCCAGCCUUAAUUUCCCAAGGCAACACCGCAUCAUGUCCAUACACCAAUUGAUAGGGUGACACCUUGGUUGAUCCAUGACAAGCCAUCCGAUAAGACCACAAUGCUUCAUUUAAUAAUGUAUGCCACCGCUUAGGAUUUUCUUCAAUCUUUCGUUUAAUAAGCUUGAUAAUUCCUUUGUUAGACGCUUCGGCCUGCCCAUUGGCUUGAGCAUAAUAAGGAGAAGAAUUCAACACUUUAAUCCCCAUACCGACUGCGAAUUCAUCGAACUCCCCCGAUGUGAACAUGGUGCCCUGAUCGGUAGUAAUCGUUUGGGGAAUCCCAAAUCGGUAAAUAAUAUGCUCCUUCACAAAAUCAAUCAUAUUGGCCGAUGUGACUUUCUUCAAAGGAAUAGCUUCAACCCACUUAGUGAAAUAAUCAGUGGCAACUAGAAUAAACUUAUGCCCUUUGCUAGAUGGUGGAUAAAUCUGGCCGAUCAGAUCGAUGGCCCAUCCCCGGAACGGCCAAGGCUUUAUUAUAGGAUUCAUAGCCGAUGCGGGUGCUCUCUGGAUAUUACCAAACUUUUGACAACCUUGACAUCCCUUGAAAUAUUCAAAACAAUCCUCAAGUAUGGUCGGCCAAAAAUAUCCAUUCCUUCGAAUCAUCCACUUCAUCUUAAAAGCUGACUGAUGCGCUCCACACACUCCUUCAUGGAUUUCCCCCAUCAAACUUCUAGCUUCAUCAUCACCCAAGCAUUGGAGAAGAAUUCCGUCGAUAGUUCGAUAAUACAAUUCAUCUUCAAGAAGCACAUACUUGCUUGCUUGAAAUCGAACCUGUCUUUCAACUUUUUUGGAUGGAUCUUUUAGAUAAUCAAUAAUUUCUUUCCUCCAAUCAUCGGCACCGAUUGCCGAUAUUGCAUUAAUCAUUGGCUGAUAUCCCGAAGCAUGUUGAGCUAACCGAUUGGCGUCUUCAUUAUGCAAUCGAGGAACAUGCUCUAAUCGGAAAUCCUUGAAUUCCUUUAACAGUUGCAUACUUCUCUCGAAAUAAGUUAUGAGAACUUCACUUCGGCAUUCAUAGCUCCCGGCCAAUUGAUUUAUAACCAACAUAGAAUCCCCGAAGAUCUCAACAGCAUCAGCACGAACUUCUCUUAACAACUCCAAUCCCUUGAUCAGAGCCUGAUACUCAGCCUGGUUAUUUGUUGAUGUGGCAACAAUCGGCAAGGAAAACUCAUACUUCCUCCCCUUAGGGGAAACUAAUACAAUGUCGAUUCCUGCCCCCCGGUCACAGGUAGAUCCAUCAAAGAAGAGUGUCCAGGGUACAAUUUCCAAGGUUUCCACCAUACCGCAAUGCUGAGUCACAAAAUCGGCCAUAAUCUGCCCUUUGACUGCCUUGGCCGAUUCGUAACGCAAAUCGAACUCCGACAGCGCUAAAAUCCAUUUACCGAUCCUACCACUCAUAAUCGGCAUAGAUAGCAUGUACCGGACCACGUCAUCUUUGCAAACAACAGUGCAUUCGGCCGAUAACAGGUAAUGUCUCAGCUUGAUACAUGAAAAAUAUAAGCAUAGGCAUAGUUUCUCAAUGGCCGAAUACCUGGUUUCAGCAUCAAUCAACCUCCUACUCAAGUAGUAAAUUACCCUUUCUUUCCCUUCAAAUUCUUGAACUAAAGCUGAACCGAUAACCGAUCCAUCGGCAGACAAAUACAAUCUGAAGGGCUUUCCUUGUUGAGGUGGAACCAGAACUGGAGGAUUUACUAGAUAUUUCUUUAUUUCACCCAGAGCCAACUGCUGUUCUUUUCCCCAAAUAAAUUCUUGAUCGGCUUUCAAUUUAAGAAGAGGACUGAAAGCACGAAUCUGACCAGACAGAUUAGAUAUAAAUCUCCUGAUAAAGUUUACCUUGCCGAUCAAGGACUGGAGUUCGGUCUUGUUGGUAGGGGCCACUAUUUUAUUGAUGGCAUCAAUGGAUCUUCGACUAAUUUCAAUACCCCUUUGAUGUACCAUGAAACCAAGAAACUGCCCUGCCGAUACACCAAAUGCACACUUGUUGGGAUUCAUCUUCAAUCCAUGCUUCCUUGUGCACUCUAACACUUUCUGUAAAUCGGCAAGAUGCUUUGAGAAAUCUCCAGACUUGACCACCACAUCGUCAAUAUAAAUCUCCACGAGCUUGCCGAUGAACUCAUGAAAUAUAAAAUUCAUAGCCCUUUGAUAAGUAGCACCAGCAUUCUUCAACCCAAAGGUCAUGACUAUCCAUUCAAAUAACCCAACAUGACCAGGACACCUGAAUGCGGUUUUUGGAAUAUCCUCCUCUGCCAUGAAUAUUUAAUUGUAUCCUGCAUUACCAUCCAUAAAGCUGAUGACCCGAUGACCAGCUGCAGCAUCAACCAGCAGAUCGGCGACAGGCAUUGGGUAUCCAUCCAUCGGCGUAGCUUUGUUGAGAUUCCUGAAAUCAAUGCACACUCGAAGCUUCCCGUUCUUCUUGUAAACCGGAACAACAUUGGAAAUCCACUCGGCAUACCAACACUGCCGAAUAAACUUAGCUUCAAUAAGUUUGGUGAUUUCGGCCUUAAUAUCAGGUAGAAUGUUAGGAUUACACCGGCGAGCUGGUUGCUGAUGUGGCCGAAAUCCAGACUUGAUGGGUAACCGAUGCUCAACAAUUGACCGGUCUAAACCAGGCAUCCCAGUAUAAUCCCAAGCAAAGCAAUCUUUAUAUUCCUUUAACAAACUAGUCAAUUGUUGCUUACACUCAGGAUCUAAUUUGGCACUAAUAAAAGUAGGCCUAGGCUUAUCACCACUACCUAUAUCUACUUCUACCAAAUCAUCGGCCGAUGUGAAUCCCUGGCCUAAUUUUCCAUCAUCGGCGAAUCUAUCCAUUAAAAACCGUCGUCAGAACCAACUGCUUGGAUCGGUGGAAUCUCGUAAUCGGCAACUUUGAGAAAAUCUUUCUCCCAAACUUCCCCUGAAAUGCACCUGGUCCUUUCGUAAGUAUCCGCCUCUGCCGAUGCGAUAACAUAAGAAGAAUCUCCUGGGACAAUCUCAAUCUUGUCACCUACCCACUGAACCAAGCAUUGGUGCAUUGUAGAUGGGAUACAACAAUUGGCAUGAAUCCAAUCUCUUCCCAACAAUAAGUUGUAAGCACCUUUUCCACUGAUCACGAAGAAAGUUGUUGGCAAGGUUUUGCUGCCGAUGGUGAACUCCACACAUAUUGCCCCCUUGACUGGAGACACGUUUCCUUCAAAGUCUUUGAGCAUCAUAUCGGUCUUGGUCAAAUCAUGAUCCCCUUUCCCAAGCUUCCGAUAUACUGCAUACGGCAUAAUAUUAAUAGCAGCUCCACCAUCAACUAGGAUCUUGGUCAUUGGCUGCCCAUCAACCCUUCCUUUGACAAACAGAGCUUUGAGAUGCUGUCUCUCGUCAUCGGCAGGUUUCUCAAAGUCAGCCGUCAUCGGAUCCAGAGCCAGCUGAGCUAUCUGAUCAGAGAAUUCCAACUCAUCAUCACCGGAUGGUGCAAGAAACUCCAUCGGCAACAUAAAGACCAUAUUGACUCCUGCCGAUGAUCCUUCCCUCUUAGUGUCUGAUGGCUGCUGACUUCCAGAGUUCUCGCCCUUGCUUAGCUCCUCUUGCCUUUCACGUUGCAAUCUCCUUUUCUGUGUCUUGGUUAAUCCUUCAGGACACCAUGGAGGAAGCGGCUUUUGCCUUGCUGCCGGGCGUCGGUUCUCCCUUGACUCCAUACGAUGCGUGUUAGCAUCUCUGCAAAAUAUGAACUCAUCGGGAACCCGCGCAUUAGCCAUCUCUUCGAGCUCUUCCUGGUUCCUGGGAAAAUACUGGACACGUUCACCAAGCCUAUCGUGCACGCUAAGCCUGCCCCCCAGCCGAUCACGAACUGACGCCCUUCCUCUGAUUGGCCCAUCAAAUCGUCGAUCAUCAUCAUGAUAACGCCGAUCGGUCCUAUCGUACCGAUCAUAACCGUUGCACUCAGGGCAGUCUCUGACAGUAGGUAGCUUGAUAUAUUCCUCCCAACAAUGGAUGAAGAACGGACAAUUCCAAUGAUCUCUGUGCCGAUUCCACUCCUGUCGGCGUCUUUCUUCUUCCCGUCGAUAAUCUUCUUGCUGGCGCCGAUACCGAUCCUCUCGUUGUUGCCAAUUUUCUCGAGGCCUUCUAUGAGUUAUAACGAUACCGGACCGAGGAGGCCUUCCUGAGCUAGUUCCUUCCUGAACCAAGCCUUUACUUCUUGCAUCGGCAGUAGUAACUUGAUGCUGAGGAUCUACCGAUGCACUCUUCUCAGCUGUUUCUGAUGUUAAGACCUUAGCCUUCCCCUUAGCAUCCAACAUGUUUGUCGGGAAAGGAUGUUGGUCUAUCUUCAUCGGCUUCUGGGCCUUGGAACUGUCAAACUUGAUUCUCCCAGACUCUAUAGCCGAUUGCAGCUGCUGUCUGAAUACUUUGCACUCGUUGGUAUCAUGGGAAGUUGCAUUAUGCCACUUGCAAUAUCUCAUCCUCUUUAACUCUUCUGCCGAUGGGAUCACAUGAUUAGGUGACAGUUUGAUCUGACCUUCCUGAAGUAGAAAGUCAAAUAUCCUAUCGGCCUUAGCGGUGUCAAAAGCAAACUUCUCUGGUUCCUUAUGCCCAAAAGGACAAGACAUCGGCUUCUUGUUUUUUACCCACUCUGCCAAGCCGAUUACUGGCUCUUCAUCAGAAUCUGAGCUUGUUGCUUCAUCGACAAAUGACACUUUCUUAAUCCAUGCUCUUUUGGGCUCGAAAGGCUUGAUGUCUUGAUCAGAAAUCCUCUGCACCAAAUGACUCAAACUUUCGAACUCCUGAGAGGCAUACUUAUCCCUGAUAUGUGGCAACAAACCCUGGAAAGCCAAAUCGGCUAGCUGCCGAUCAUCCAGAACCAAGCUAUAGCAUUUAUUCUUGACCUCUCGUAUCCUCUGCACAAAACCCUCAACUGACUCAUCAUUACGUUGCCUCAACUUGACCAAGUCGGUGAUCUUCUUCUCAUGAACCCCCGAAAAGAAGUAUUUGUGGAAUUGUUUCUCCAGAUCGGCCCAAGUAAUUACUGAAUUAGGAGGUAAUGAUAUGAACCAAGUAAAGGCCGAUCCAGACAAUGGUGACGAAAAUAGACAAACCCUCAAUUCGUCCUUGUUACCAGCCUCUCCACAUUGAAUGAUGAACCUGUUGACAUGCUCCAUGGUUGACGUAUCGUCCUGCCCGGAAAACUUGGUAAAAUCCGGUACCUUGUACCGAUGUGGAAGCGGGAUCAAAUCAUACGCGGGAGGAUACGGUGUCCGAUAAGAGUAAGUGUUGACUUUGGGUUUUAUCCCAAAUUGUUCCCUCAUUACUUCAGCAAUCUUAUCGGCCCAAUAUGCAUCGGCAUCCUGCCGAUGGUGUGGCUGUGGAUCUGGCACUUGGUGACGAACCUCCACGUGUCUAUUCGGGACGUGAUCUGCACGGAACAUUGGAUUGAUCACCUGCCCUCCAAUCUGCGGACCACCAAACUGCUGUCCACCGAUUUGCUGUCCCCCGAGUUGCUGUCCCCCGAGUUGCUGUCCGAAAUUCAUUGGCUGGUUGGGAAUCCCCUGACCUUGGAACCCGGGAUAGACCUGUCCUUGCUGGAACCCUGUAGUCUGAUAACUCUGCUGGGGCGAUUGCGGAAAGACUUGUUGUCCAAGCCAUCCAUUAUUAGCGUUCAUCGGCAUAGGCGCUGCCGAUGACUGGUAAUUGGGUAUCAUCAUUGAAUUGACAUACCCCGACUGUGCCAUAGACCUCUGUUGCAUCAGCAUUGAUUCUGCCGAUGCAUUAGGCAUCUGGAACGUUGAAUCUUGAGGAUUUCCAGUGUGAGGCCUUGCAGUAGUGGUUGUGGUAUACCGGGGACUCUGGUUCAAUGGCACAUUGGGAGGCGCCGAUGUCAUAGGAGUCUUGCCCCUCAUGUCGGUUAUCUGCGAUGUACCUGGCGUCAAUUCUGGAGGCAUACCAUAACCCCACCAGUUGGGAGGAAGAGUCAACCCUGACAUUGCCGAUGCCAACAUAUCUGUAGUCAGCUUAUUCUGCCCACCUGAAGUCUGCGGGUUAGUUGUCAUCGGCACAGAUAGAGCACCAGAAGCUCCCGAUGUACUUGGAGGGACGGCAGAUUGUGCACUUGCAGCCGUCAAAGCAGCCGAUGGAGCCGUGACUUCUGGUGCCGUGGGCUGGUGAUGAGAGGGGCCCACAUAAUCUGGUGGGAUUUGUCCUUCCUUGAAAGUUCUUGCCACGGCAUUGAAAACCGUAUUAGACAGUACACCAGCUUGGUUGAUCAAAGCUCAGUUGAUAGCAUUGUCAACCAUAUCUUGAAGCUUGCCAGGAUUGGCGUCGAAGGUAACCUGCCGUGGUGCCGGCAGUGCAUCUUUCUGGACCACUUCGCCGCUCCUGUUUAUGCUGAAAAACCUCAGGCAUUGCUGCUUGAACUCUUCCAUGGCUUGGGCAAUAGCUUGCUUCUGCUCAUCCUUGAGAUUGGCCUCCGUCACGGGGAUGACGUUCUCCUGAUCGAGGUCAGAGAUCGACAUGUUGAUCUUGAUCUUGAAUCCUGUCCCACCGAGCGUGCCAAAAGAUGUGUUGAUGCAAAACUGAUCUGCAAACACAAAGGGCUAAUACCCGAUUCAAACGUUAAGGCGUGCCAGCCGAUUUAACCUUACUAUCGGCAAAGGUGAUAACUCGAAUACUUUAGUCCUGACAACAGCGAUGCGCCCGGAUGUCACGGCUAAGAGGUACUCACACGGAACUUGAGAACACGUCGAGCUUAAGUCGACGAAUUCCUAAGAACUCGUAGUAAAAAGGAAAAAGUAUGACGAAGUCGUCGAAAAAGUAGAUGCUGGAAUAUGAGUAAAAACGUGUGUUUGAUUGAUUGAUAGAUAGCUCAUUACAAGGCCCUAGGGUCUAUAUUUAUACUCUGCUCAAAGAGCUACAACCAGACACGAUUAGAAUUCGAAUUCCAAACUACACGGAAUCCGUAUACAAAACGAUGUAAAUAAUUAAGGAAAUAACAAAACUAUCCCCCGUAACAAACUGAAACUCCUCCAUACAACGACCGGCAGCUUCCGGACUCCCUCUUUGCAUCAUCGGCAGAUCUUUUGCCAUAGUUAUCGGCAGACUUUCUUAUCCAGUCAUCGGCACAAUCAUAUCACUGCCUGUAGACUUAGUCACGUUCAACUUCUCCUUCAUCGGCAACCAUCCUCAUCGGCAACUCACCCUGUAAACAUCGUACUGCCAUCUUAUCCUGCCAUCCUAGACACGUGCACAAAAACGGUGUCAACAGUUAGAUUGACAAUAAAUAUACUCUUCCAUUCAUUUGGCUUCUUCCCAGCCAGAUUUGUUGUGGCCGGCUGUUGUGUGGCCUCCUCCCGCUCACAAAUGACAUUGCGUCACAUAGUACCUUGCGUGCCGUUUUGCCAUUACUGGCAGUGGGCCAUUUUGCCAUUGCUCCACAUGGUACCUUGCGGGCUAUUUUGUAAUUAUUGGGAGGCGGCAACACGGUUGGGAGGCGGCGACACGGCUUGGAGGUGGCGGCGCGGUUGAGAGGCGGUGGCGAGGCGAGUUGGGAGGCGACGGUGUUGGUAACCGGGAGGGGUCGUGGCUGGGACGCAUCGCGAGUGGGGAUCGCGUGCGACACAGCCGAUCGCUUUCUCUAUGGGCCCAACCUCAAAUAGCCCCAAAUAGCGCAAAUAAGCACCUCUUUGGGGGGAUAGUUUUUUGGGUGGGUUAGAUGCAAAUAACCCCAAUCUAACCCUCAUGUUUGGAUACUUUACGGCAAUUUGAGCCUCAAAUAACUAAAUCUAACUCUAACCCAUGGAUCCAAACAGGACCAAUGACAAAAUAGAGAAACAAAAGAACAUAGGAAUUUCACUGGGUAAGACUGUCUUCAACAAGGAGACCCAAAUACAAAUAUAUGUCCUACAUAGUGUUUUGCAUACUGAAAUCAUGCUCCAACAAAGGACCCAAUUUAGAGACCCAUUUUAGGUACGACGCGAGAAGAAACACAAAUAUGCGUCUGUCGGCGUCUAGACUCGAGGUCUAGGCACUAACAAGUAUAAAUCUGCGUGACUUACCAAGCUUGGAUGGUGAUGCAAGUGAGACACAGAGGGUUUAUACUGGUUCGGGCUAAGAAUGCCCUACGUCCAGUGUAGUGGUGGAUUCUGUAUAACCUUGCACCCAAAGGUGCUUGCAGUAGGGGGUACAAGCUGGUUGCGAGAGAGGGCUAAGUCCCAGGUCUCGGCUUGGUGUGGACAGAGUGCGGGCUGCUGCUCUGUGAAAGAGUGUUGUGUGCGUGUUCUGGGCCUGUCUCUCCAGUUAUGAACCCUGGCUCCCCUUUUAUAGUCUCAAGGGAAGGCCAGGUAUUUACAUGAGUAGAUUUCUUUUAUUGAGGGGUGAAAACACAGGCCCGACCCUGUUGAGGCUGGUCCAUCUCGUCCUUGUGGGAUGGUUGACGGCAUGGCUGUUCCUGUAGAGGGUUACCGAACCCUGUAGGGGUCGCGGGGGUCGGAUCGCCGGCACUGCUGCAUAUCCUGUCAACAGUGGAAAUGACCACAAAUAGUGGUGCUGAUUUACGUUACCCAUUCCCUUUCUACUGUGCGGUGAUGUGCUACAGUGAACAGGGGUAAGGAUGUAUAGUGACAGAGGUAAGGCUGCAGUGACUGGGGUGGUUGAAACAGUUGUCGCCUUGCCCUGCUGCGUUAUGGGGGCCGUCGCAUCCGUCAUGUUGGGGGAAGUCUAGUUGCCCAGGUGGAGUGGGGUCCGGCGUCCGAGCCUGGACGGGGUCGGGCGAGUCGGAACUGGCGUCCGAGGCCCUGAGGGGUCGGGCGAGUCGGAACUUGCGUCCGAGGCCCUGAGGGGUCGGGCGAGUCGGAACUUGCGUCCGAGGCCCUGAGGGGUCGGGCGAGUCGGAACUUGCGUCCGAGGCCCUGAGGGGUCGGGCGAGUCGGAACUGGCGUUUUUUGUUGCUCUGAUUUGGGUAUCCCUUAUUAUGGUACCCAACAGUAGCCCCCGAGCCUCUGAAGAGGUGAGGUCACCUCUUUAGGGGUUCUUUCCCCGUGGACCGUAGUCGACUCGGAGCCUUUUACUGUUGCCGGGGGGGUGCGCGCGAGCGCACCCGCCGGGUGUAGCCCCCGAGCCUUUUGGAGGAAUGGUGUUAUUCCUUCAAAGGCUUUUACCCCUUGAGAUCUUUAGUCUGGAGUGUUUUAUGGGAUAGUUUGCGUGUUCUUUACACGUAGUGUCUGUUCCCAUGGUGCGAGGAAGCCCCCGAGCCCUUUCCCCGGGAGGGUCGAUCAGGUUCUUUCUCGUCUUGUAAUUCCGUCCCUCAUUCUUCCUUUUGCUCGGAGGAGGGGUGGGUCGUGCCGUCCUACCCUUGGUGGGCGAGUGACGACACUUCCCGGGAGCUGCAGGCGGGUAGAUCCGAGUGGAUGUCUGAGUCCCGUUCGAUAGGGGUCGGCUAGUGGCCUUAUGGGCACAUCUCAAAAGGUACCCGAGGGCAGUCACGGUGGAUGUCGGAACCGUUCGUUAGGGCCCGAGGGCUCGAUGCCUCCCUCGAUGGGAUCCCACUCUCCUGACACCCGCAUGGGUCUCGGAUAUGACUUGCAAAGAUGCGCCGACUCCCUGUAGGGUUCGGACCUUGGCCUCUAUCGUGCUCAUCUCCAGUCAUCCCUCACUCAGUUAUCCUGAGGCGACUGUUCGAACCUGUGUCGCAGGUCAGUCUCGAAACCUCUGGAACGUAGGUGGCCAUGGCCUGGGGAUUUUGGGCCUUAAAAGGUUUUCUUUAGACCCGUUCUUUCGUGUUGGGGUCGGGCGAGACGGAGUCUGACGCCCGACGGAGACCUCCAUGCGAUGCUUAGCCAGCGGGGGGUCGGGCGCCGCGUCUCUUGGAAGGAACCGCCCUGUCAUAACUUUUCAGGGCGCUCCUUUUGAGGCGUGGCGCGUGGGGACUCGAAACGGCUGUGCCGUCUCGCCCCGGUUUGGACGGGACGUUUCGCCUGCGAAUUUAAUGCGUGCGUGCGGCGGGCGCGGGAAUCGGAGGGAGUUGGCGCUUCGAGUUUUUCACCUGAGCGGGCGACGGUUGCGCUCUUUCUCUCUCUCUUGGCCUUCCUCGCAGGGGCGUGGUCGUGGCUCGCUCCCUUCUAUAAAAGCGGCCGCUGGGGUUUUGGUUUCUUUCCUCUCGCUCUUGCGCCACAAAACCUUUGCCUCCUGCCCCUUCUUCUGCCGCCGUCUCUUCCACCUCCAUCGCACAGGCCUCCUUCUUCCUCCUAGAGCCAUGGCCGGCGUCGAGGCGUGGCCGCCUAGCAACGUGACCAAGUCCGCGCUGGAGGCGCGCGUGAGGGCCGGGAUUCUUCGUCCUCUCAAGGACGUCGGGUUCCCGGAAUGGAUCGUUCCCUCGGCGAACGACAGGGAGCCAAACCCGCCUCCGGGCUAUGUGGUGUGCUUCCUGUCGUUCCUAGACCGGGGGUUCGGGGUUCCGGCCGGCCGCCUGAUCAGGGCCAUCCUCCACUACUACGAGGUGGAGUUGCACAACCUGAACCCAAACUCGGUGAUGCAGGCCGCCGUCUUCACCACGAUUUGCGAGGGGUUCCUGGGGGUUCCUGUCAAUUGGAACCUCUGGCUUCACCUCUUCAAGGCGGACAUGUCGGCCCGCUAUGUGGGGAAGGAGAAGAUCCCCCUGCGGGCCGGCGGUUGCACGCUGCAGCUUCGCCAGCAACGGUCCGGACUGUACAUUUGGACCACGAUGCCAUCGUCAAACCGGGGGUGGCAGAGCACGUGGUUCUACCUCCGGAAUGACGGUGGUCUUCUGCCGAAGUACUCUGGAAAGAUGGUGACAGAGGCCCCCCAGAAGUGGGCGUGGGGCGCUCCGGCCAAGGAGCAGAAAAGGCUCGCCCCGCUUCUUGCGGGGCUUCAGAAGCUGCGAGAGGCCCGAGUUACUGCGGCCACGGUGGCAACGGCGUUCCACAAGAGGAGCCUGCUUCCGCUAGCGCAGCGCCGGGUGCCAAUGUUCGAAAUGACAUGGGACGUCCCUUGGGCAGGGACGAGGAUGUUAGCCGAGCCGAUAUCGGCUUCGGACAUCGCCGCCCGGGUCAAGAAGACCACACACCCGGAGAUGAAGAACUCCCGGGUGGUGCCGAUGCGCCCUGAAAAGGGCUACAUUUCCUUGGUAAGAAGGUGUCCUUUCAUUUCGAUCACCUGCUCCCGUUUUUUCUUUCACCUGAUUUCCUUGUUGAUCUGCUUGCUCCACAGGGGAUCGGGGCCGUCAAGGACUCCCUGCCCCCCCGUCCCGGAGGACAAAGAGAUCCGGGCCAAGAAUCGGGCCCGGAACGAGGAGCAAAAGAAGAUCAAGGAAGGGAAGAAGGCUAAGGCGGCGCGAAGGGCGGAGAGACGGGAGGUCGCCUCCAAGAACCGCCAUGAAGCCGAGAAGGCAGGGGUCGCCCCGCCUCCGUCUCCUGAGACUUCAGUCUCGGAGAUCGAGGGCGGGGGCGGCGACGUCGACUGGCUCGACGAGCUGAUGGAGGAGGACGACACAGUCCCUCCUACCGGAGGGAUCGAGACCCCGGAGGGGUCCAAGGCCCGAGGUGGGUCGGGGACCCCCGAGGGGACCCAGACACCGGGGGGCGGGCAGCCCGUCCCCCACAUCGUUGUGGACGACGAGGACGGCGCCCCUCGUGAAGAUUCGGCCCCCGUGGGCCUCCAAGAGGGGGAGAAGGCGUCGGAGGCCGAGCCCGAGGAGACCCCUCAGUUGGUAGCGCCGGAGGGUCCGACCGAGCCCAUCCCAAUGUCUAGGACGGGAGCUGGAGCCUCCGUGGAGGUGUUGCAGGCUGAGGCCCUCAUGGCGCCCCCUGCGCCGUCGGCGAGCGAGGCAGGGGUCCGGCCAUCGGCCUCAGGCGCCGCGGGAGACCCCCAAGGAGCCCAGGGCUCGUAUAAGAAAUCUGCUCCCCGGGCGAGGUAAAGAUAGCAUUCCUGAUCCUUUUGCCGAUUUUUUGUUUUUCUCUUUCUUCUAACUUGAUGUCGUUCUCCCAGCCGUAAGCAGAAGGCGCCCUCAGUGGCGCUGGCCCCCCUGAAGGCCGUAAAGAGGGGGGCUCAGUCGACUCCCGGGUCAGCUAGGCCCGUGUCUCCGCCGCCUCCAGGCUACGAGGAGGCAGGGCACCACCCGGGGCAAGACACGGGGGCGCCGAAACCCCAAGGAUAGGAGGACGCUGACCUCGGAGGCGCAGCCCGUCCUACGUGCGCUGAGGAGGGGCGAGCCAUCGUGGUGUCCAGCGCGGCGCCUGAGGCCCCCGCGGCGGGAAGGGAGGAGGAAGCCGGGUGGGGCAAGAGCCCCGUGAUCUGGCCCAACCUCGGCGAUGCCGAGGGAGGAGCCAGAUUUGUCCUGGAUGACCCGUCAGAGAAUUACCUCUAGCAGGGUCUGGACGCGUGUGGGCGUGCCGGUGUCGAGGCCCUCAACCGAGCUACCCAGCUCGUGGGUCGUGACAUGUUUAAUUUGGCUCAGGUGAGAUUUUUAUCCGUGUUAUGGAGUAGUUUUGUGCUUACCUUUGUGUUACUAACCCCCUGUGGGACCUCUGAUCUUGCAGGCGCUCAAGGCCACCUCCCAGGAGAAAUCGGUGUUUCUCCGUCGGGAGAAGGAUGCUUGGGUGUCCUUUGAGAAGGAGAGGGCUGCCAGGGAGGCGGCCGAGGGGGAGCUCGCGAAGGAGUGCGAGAUUUCCGCCGAUCUUCGGCAGAAGUGCUCAGCACUGGCUACUGAGGCUCGGGAGGCCCGAGACAGGGUCGCCCCCCUGGAGGAGAGGGUCGGGGCCCUCACGCAAGAGUCCGGGGCGCAGAAGGCGGCGGCUGAGGGGUACAAGGGUGAGGUCGCUCGGCUUGAAGCUUUGCUCGCCGAAAAAGACCUCGCCUUGAACCAAGCUCAGACCGACCUGGCCGGGGCUCUGAGCCAGGUGUCCCGCUGGCAUCAGAGCUCGGCCGAGUACGAGAAGCGCGCCAAGGGUAGGACUUGCGCCCUUUUCCUUAGACGCCUUUGUACUUUUGAGUUGGCUUUUCCUGACUUCUCGUUUCUUGCUCUGUUUUUUGAUCAGAAUUGGAGGUGAAGGUGGUCGAGGCGACCUCUACUGCCGAGGCCCUGAAAAAGUCCCUCGACGCUGAGGCUUCGGACCGCUCGGCUCUUGAAGCCGUGGUCACCUCGGCGUGUGAGGGGCUCGGGGUAUCGGUGUCGGGGUCGUCGCUGCGCAGUCGGGUCGAGGCCCUUUACUCCCGGGCUGGGGAGAGGAUGAGGGAGGCGCUCCACACCGGGGUGAAGAAGGCCCUGGUGGUGGUGAGCUCUCACUAUGCCGGCAUUGAUUUGCCGGCGGUUUGUGAGGGCUACGUCCUCUCUGAUGACGAAACAGAAGCCCAGGAGGAGGUGCAGAGGCUUGAUGAUGCCGCGGCUGUCCCUGGAGACGCCUUGGCCGCCUUUUUUGACGAUGAGGCGGAGCUUCCCCCCCUCGGGGCUCAAGGACCUGAGUAGAUAGGUCAAUAGGAUUCUUAGUUUUUCUUUUCUUUUUGUGGGUGUUGAGGCCGGUGGGCCUUGUAACAUAUAUAUAUAACGUUAAUGUCGAAUGUAAAUAUAACUGCUCUUUUUGAGUAUUUUCCCUAAGUAUCUUGUUUCCUUUCUCUUUAUACCGAUCCGACCUCGGCAGCGCGGGGUCGGGUGAGCUACUUAAAGUUAUCGCGCAGGUCGGAGUUCCUAGGCCUAAGUGCUUUUCCUUUUUCCUUAGUGAUUCUUGGAAGUCCGAAUUCGUUCCCGAAUCUAAGGUGAGUUGAGGUGGUCUUUGCCCGUGAGCGCAGAUCCUUCCUCGAGCUCAUGCCUUAAGAUUUAGGGGUCGGAUUCUCGGUUUCUUGAAUCUUUUUAGGAAGGAGGAGGAAGACCUUGGGUCUGGGUUCUUUUAACUUGUGUGAAAGAAGAAAAAGAUUCGGAGUCGACAUAGGGGGUUCCCCCCAUGUAGCCCCCGAGGGAGGUUCGGACUCUGCUCGGCAGGUCCGAGACUCUCUGAUAACUUAAACUUUGAUUUAUUCCUUGGAGGCGAUGGACGAACAAAGAAAUUUUUACAAAGCUCUAAGGGAAAAAACGACGUAGCUGUUCUAUGUUCCAUGCGUUUUUGAAGACCUCCCCUGCUUCAUUGGCGAGCUUGUAGGUGCCUGCUCGGAGAACCUCGGCGAUGACGAAAGGUCCUUCCCAGGGGGGUGUGAGCUUGUGACGACCCUUGUUGCUCUGUCUGAGCCUCAGCACCAAGUCGCCGACUUGAAAGGCUCGGCCUCGGAUUCGUCGUGCGUGGUAUCGGCGGAGGGCCUGCUGGUAUUUGGCAAAGUGUAAGAGGGCUACGUCCCUGGCUUCAUCCAGCUGGUCCAGCGCGUCUUCUUGGAACGUCUUGCCGCUAUUUUCGUCGUAGGCUUGUACCCUUGGGGACCCGUACUCCAAGUCAGUGGGGAGGACAGCUUCCGACCCGUAGAUCAUGAAGAACGGGGUGAAGCCUGUGGCUCGGCUUCGGGAGGUUCUCAGGCUCCAGAGCACGGCUGGUAGUUCCUUGAGCCACCUUUUCCCAAACUUGUUCAGUCGGUUGAAAAUCCUGGGCUUCAAACCCUGGAGGAUCAUGCCGUUGGCACGUUCCACUUGACCAUUGGUCUUGGGGUGAGCCACCGCCGCCCAGUCCACACGUAUGUGGUGUCUGUCGCAGAACUGCAAGAACUUUCGCCCGGUGAACUGUGUGCCGUUGUCGGUGAUUAUGGAGUUCGGUACUCCAAAUCGAUGGAUGAUGUCUGUGAAGAAUAAAACGGCUUGCUAGGCCUUGAUCCUUGUAAUAGGUCGGACUUCGAUCCACUUAGAGAACUUGUCGAUUGCGACAAGCAAGUGGGUGAAGCCCCCAGGCGCUUUCUGCAGAGGCCCGACCAGGUCAAGGCCCCAGACAGCGAAAGGCCAAGUUAUGGGGAUCGUUUGCAGGGCCUGAGCAGGGAGAUGCGUCUGCCGAGCGUAGAACUAGCAUCCCUUGUAGGACCUGACGAUCUCUGUGGCGUCGGCUACAGCGGUGGGCCAGUAGAAACCUUGUCGGAAGGCAUUUCCUACCAGCGUCCGAGGCGCGGCGUGAUGGCCACAAGCCCCCGAGUGUAUGUCCUGUAGGAGCUUGACUCCUUCCUGACGUGGGAUGCAACGCAUAAGGAUGCCCGAGGGGCUGCGUUUGUACAUUUCCCCGUCGAGGAGGACGAAGGUCUUGGCACAACGAGCCACGCGUCUCGCUUCAGCCUGGUCCAGGGGCUGAGUGCCAUCGACCAGGCGUUGAAGCAAAGGGUAGCGCCAGUCAGGCGAGUCGUCAGUCGCAGGUGGCUCUGGCUCGAUGUCCAUGGCCUCCUGUUCUUGGGCGACAGCGUCUUUGGGGUCGGCACUCUGUUUGUUUUGGGGCUCAUCCGACCCCCCGUCGUCCUUGUAGUCGACGGAAGGUUUGUAGAUGUCGCUGACGAAAACAUCCUGGGGGACGGUGGCCCGCUCGGAUGCCAUCUUGGCGAGCGCGUCGGCGGCUUCAUUAUACUUUCUUAACACGUGGUUAAGUUCGAGGCCGUCGAAUUUCUCUUCCAGGCGUCGAACCGCCUUGCAGUAUGCGUCCAUCUUGGGGUCAUGGCAGCUAGAUUCUUUCAUGACUUGAUCGAUGACGAGUCUGGAAUCGCCUCGGAUGUCGAGCCGCUUGAUCCCAAGUUCGAUCGCGAUGUGAAGACCGUUCACAAGGGCCUCAUACUCUGCUGUAUUGUUUGAAGCAGGGAAGUGGAGCCGGAUCGCGUAUCGCAUCCUUACCCCGAGGGGUGAGAUGAAGACAAGGCCUGCGCCGGCCCCAGUUUUCAUCAGAGACCCGUCGAAGUACAUGGUCCAGCAUUCGUGCUGGAUUUGUGGGGGUGGGAGCUGAGUCCCCGUCCAUUCUGCCACAAAGUCUGCCAGGACCUGGGACUUUAUGGCCUUGCGAGGCUCAUAGGCGAUCCCAUCGCCCAUGAGCUCUAUGGCCCAUUUGGCAAUCCUCCCGUUGGCCUCUCGGUUCUGAAUCACUUCUCCCAGAGGGAAAGAUGAGACCACUGAGACUGGGUGAGAUUCGAAGUAAUGUCGGAGCUUGCGCCGGGCCAACACCACAGCGUAGAGUAAUUUUUGAAUCUGGGGGUAUCGGGUCUUUGUGUCGGAGAGUACUUCACUGACGAAGUAUACCGGCCUUUGGACCGGCAGGGCGUGUCCUUCUUCCUUCCUUUCGACCACGAUAGCUGCGCUGGCCACCUGAUCAGUGGCUGUGACGUAAAGAAGAAGUGGUUCCCCCUCGGCGGGGGGCACCAGGAUGGGAGGGUUGGUGAGCAGAGACUUGAGCUUGUCGAGGGCUUCCUGGGCCUCGAGGGUCCAGGAAAAUUGCUCAGAUUUCCUUAGUAACCUAUACAGAGGCAGCCCUUUUUCUCCGAGGCGAGAAAUGAAACGGCUUAGGGAGGCGAGACAUCCCAUUACCCUCUGUACUCCCUUUAGGUUACGGAUGGGACCCAUAUUCGCGACGGCCGAGACCUUUUCUGGAUUGGCCUCGAUCCCUCGCUCAGACACGAUAAACCCAAGGAGCAUGCCUCGGGGGACCCCGAAAACACACUUUUUGGGGUUGAGUCUGAUCCCUUUUGCCCUGAGGCAUCAGAACGUUUCUUCCAGGUCGACAACCAGGCCGCUCGCUUUCCUGGACUUGACGACGAUGUCGUCUACGUAUGCCUCUACCAUUUUGCCUAUAAGGUUCCCAAAAACCUGGAGCAUACAUCGUUGAUAUGUAGCCCCCGCGUUCUUGAGGCCAAAAGGCAUGGUCACGUAGCAAUACAUUCCGAAAGGGGUGAUGAAUGAAGUCGCGAGCUGGUCGGACUCUUUCAUCUUGAUUUGGUGGUAGCCGGAGUAAGCAUCAAGGAAAGAUAAAAUUUCACAUCCCGCGGUGGAGUCAACUAUCUGAUCAAUACGGGGCAAUGGAAAGGGAUUCUUUGGACAUGCUUUAUUUAAACUAGUGUAGUCUACACACAUCCUCCACUUCCCAUUUUUCUUUUUAACUAGCACGGGGUUGGCUAACCACUCGGGAUGGAAUACUUCCUUGAUGAAUCCGGCCGCCAGCAGCUUGUGGAUCUCCUCCCCGAUGGCCCGGCGCUUCUCCUCAUCGAAUCGGCGUAGGCGUUGCUUCACGGGUUUGGAACCGGCUCGGAUGUCCAAGGAGUGCUCGGCGACCUCCCUCGGUAUGCCAGGCAUGUCCGAGGGACCCCACGCAAAUAUGUCAGCGUUCGCGCGGAGAAAGUCGACGAGCACCACCUCCUAUUUGGGGUCGAGGCUGGAGCUGAUCCUCAACGCCUUGCCUUCAGAGGUCCCGGGGUCGAGGAAAACUUGCUUGGUCUGCUCCGCCGGCUCGAAGCUUCCGGCGUGACGUUUGGGGUCGGGGACGUCUUGGUCGCAGUCGCCGAGGCCAGUAAGGAUGGCUAGAGAUUCUGCCAAGGCCUCGGCCUGCUCGACGCACUCGACGUCGCACUGGUAGGCGUGCUGGCUGGUCGUGCUGAUGGUGAUGAUGCCCUUUGGCCCUGGCAUCUUGAGCUUGAGGUAAGUGUAGUUGAGGACGGCCAUGAACUUGGCGUAGCAUGGUCGUCCCAGGAUCGCAUGGUAGGUUCCUGGGAACCCGACCACAUCGAAAGUGAGGAACUCUCGUCUGAAAUUGUCAGGGGUCCCGAAGCAGACGGACAGGUCGAUCUGUCCGAGGGGGUGGGCACGAUGCCCGGGCACCACUCCGUGGAAUGGUGCAGUGUCGUUCCUCAGCCGAGACCUGCUGACCCCCAUGAGGGCCAAAGUCUCGGCGUAGAGAAUGUUGAGGCCGCUGCCUCCGUCCAUCAGCACCUUAGUGAGACGGGUCUCGGCGAUGAUGGGGUCGACGAUCAGAGGGUAGCUCCCGGGAUUGGGGAUCCGAUCCGGGUGAUCCUGUCUGUCGAACGUGAUCGCGCUUUCGGACCAUUUGAGGUACGAGGGCGCGGCCGUGCUGAUUGCGCAAACUUCUCGGAGUUCGCGCUUCCUCUGACUCGCAGUGAGGCGAGCCGCUCGUCCCCCAAAGAUCAGAAGGCAGUUCUUGACCUUUGGGAAAUCCUCCCCCUGGAGGUCGUCGUCCCUAGGAGGCUCUUCGGCACUCUCUUUGGUGAGGAUGUCGGUGUAGUACCGACGGAGGACGGUGCACUCCUCUAGGGUGUGUUUGGUUGGCCCCCUGUGAUAGGGGCAUGGCUUCUUCAACAUUUCGUCGAAGAGACCGGGGCCAGCCGGAGCCCGCUUGGGGUUCUUGCGAUCUACCGCAGCGACCAGGUUGUCGUCUGGCUGUCCCUGCUUCCCCUUGCGACCCUUCUUCUUCUUCUUUGGGUCGCGCGAGCUCGAGGCCUCGGUAGCCUCGGCUUUUUGUUUCCCCUUGGCUGUGCUGUCGGAGAAAAUGGCGCCAACUGCUUCUUCGCCUGAGGCAAAGUUGGUGGCGAUGUCGAGUAGCUGGCUCGUGCUUGUGGGGGUCUUGCGUCCGAGCUCGUGUACCAACUCCUUGCAGGUGGUACCGGAAAUGAAGGCUCCGAUCACGUCGGAGUCCGUGAUGUUGGGGAGCUCGGUGCAUUGUUUGGAGAAUCGCCUGAUGAAGUCUCGGAGGGACUCGUCAGGUUUCUGCCGGCAACUCCUGAGGUCCCAGGAGUUCCCAGGGCGCACGUACGUGCCCUGGAAGUUCCCGACAAAGAUUCUGACCAGGUCAGCCCAGUCAUGGAUCAUGCGCUCAGGGAGGUGCUCAAGCCACGCCCUGGCCGUGUCGGCCAGAUGCAGUGGGAGGUUACGGAUGAUAAGCAGGUCGUCAUCCGCCCCGCCUAGCUGGCAUGCCAGGCGGUAAUCCGCCAGCCAGAGCUCAGGGUUCGUUUCCCCUGAGUACUUGGCGAGGUUGGCGGGCUGUCGGAACCGCGCCGGGAACUUGGCCCUGCGUAUGGCCUCGCUGAAGACGCGGGGACCCGGAGGCUCUGGUGAUGUGCUUCGGUCGUGAACAGGGUCGUACCUCCCGCCUCGGCGUGGUCGGUAACGUCGGGACUCGGCCUCGUCCCUGUCACGUCGCCUGGCCUCGAGGGUGGCCCGUACGUCCGCGUCGGCUCCGACGCGCUCGUGGACUGACGGGGCCCUGUUGCCCCUUGUGGGUUAGGGGGUGGCAGGCCCUGUAUUGUUGGUGCCUUGUUAGGAGGGGGCGUUCCCCAUGACGUCUCGUGCUAUGGGAUUGUGAAGCAGAACUUUCCGCGUUCUGCACCACAGCCUGCUCUAGGAGGCCACGUAGCCCCUGGCGCACUCUCCUUCCCUCAGGAGUCGAGGGCUCGGGCAUUGCCCUGAGGAGGAGUGCGGCAGCCAUCACAUUCUGGCUGGCCGUGCUGAAGACUGGGGCGUCUUCCCCUUGGUCCGCAACAAUGCGACGGUUGACGUCACGGGCGCGACGCCUAGCUUCACCCCCGUCUCCGCGGCCGGACGGCUCUCGGACCAGGGCCUCGCGGAGUUGGCGGAGGCGCGUGCGCUCUUCUUCGAGCCUGGCCUCCAGCUCAUCGAGCUGUGUGAGGUCAGGAUGGUGUCCCCCAGCGGGGGCAGAUGCUACCCCACGGGCUCCGGGAUUGGUUCCGGGAGUCGGAUUGGGAGGUGGAGUUGCGUCCUCUUGCCUUGAGGGCCCUGCGCCCCCCUGGGCGCUAUGCGGCGUGCCUCCGACUUCUAAGUUGAAGCACUCUCGAGACGGGUCGUAGCUUUCGUUGUCGGAGUCGGAGUAGCCGAGACAAUAGUUACUGGCUUCCAAGAAACGCAUUAAGGUCUCCGGGUCGCCACAUCCGGAGAAAUCAGCGCCGGACCACCCGUCGUUGCCCGAGGUAAGGUCCUCUGGGUAGGAUGAGGCGGGUGGUGUGGAGACGAGGUCCAGUGUAGACCUCAAGUGGUGCCCGGGAAGUUCCGCGUACGCACUUAAUGAAGUGCUUACGGAAGAGGCGUAGGUAGCGGCGGCAUUCCUGAGCCCAAAAGGUAACUCGGGAGGUGCCGCUGCUGCUACUUCAUCCGCAGGUGGAGGAGGACGGGACAUUGAGGCCCCUUUGUCCCCCUGGCGGGGGACGGGCGCGGGCCGUGCCUUCCCCUUCGAACGGGGUGGGACGGGUGGCCGCGAUAACCCUUUGUUGGUCCUGGGAGCGGAGCUUGACGCCCCGCGAGCCCUUCCUCUAGCGCCUGUUGGGCCGGAGGAGCGGGCGACCUGAUGAGGAAUAUGCGGAGGGAGGACCGGACGGGCCCUGGCCUUAGCGGUGGGGUCGGAGAUCCUAGAUCUCUGACGCCCCCUCCGUGAGCCCCCCGCAUGGUGUCCCGAACGUCUCCCACGCACUGACUGUGGUGGGAUCGGCUCGGGGCUAGGCUCGGCGUCGUUGCGUGGCGGGAGGAGGAUCAUGUCGUAACCGGAGCCGAGGGACAUGAACUCCAAACUCCCAAACAUGAUGAUGGUGCCGCGACGGAGCGGGCGAAAUCCGUCUGCCAUCCGAACCUCCCCAGUAGGGACAGGCAAAACGUCACGCAGAAGGCCCCUACCUGGCGCGCCAACUGUCGGCGUCUAGACUCGAGGUCUAGGCACUGACAAGUAUAAAUCUGCGUGACUUACCAAGCUUGGAUGGUGAUGCAAGUGAGACACAGAGGGUUUAUACUGGUUCGGGCUAAGAAUGCCCUACGUCCAGUGUAGUGGUGGAUUCUGUAUAACCUUGCACCCAAAGGUGCUUGCAGUAGGGGGUACAAGCUGGUUGCGAGAGAGGGCUAAGUCCCAGGUCUCGGCUUGGUGUGGACAGAGUGCGGGCUGCUGCUCUGUGAAAGAGUGUUGUGUGCGUGUUCUGGGCCUGUCUCUCCAGUUAUGAACCCUGGCUCCCCUUUUAUAGUCUCAAGGGAAGGCCAGGUAUUUACAUGAGUAGAUUUCUUUUAUUGAGGGGUGAAAACACAGCCCCGACCCUGUUGAGGCUGGUCCAUCUCGUCCUUGUGGGAUGGUUGACGGCAUGGCUGUUCCUGUAGAGGGUUACCGAACCCUGUAGGGGUCGCGGGGGUCGGAUCGCCGGCACUGCUGCAUAUCCUGUCAACAGUGGAAAUGACCACAAACAGUGGUGCUGAUUUACGUUACCCAUUCCCUUUCUACUGUGCGGUGAUGUGCUACAGUGAACAGGGGUAAGGAUGUAUAGUGACAGAGGUAAGGCUGCAGUGACUGGGGUGGUUGAAACAGUUGUCGCCUUACCCUGCUGCGUUAUGGGGGCCGUCGCAUCCGUCAUGUCGGGGGAAGUCUAGUUGCCCAGGUGGAGUGGGGUCCGGCAUCUGAGCCUGGACGGGGUCGGGCGAGUCGGAACUGGCGUCCGAGGCCCUGAGGGGUCGGGCGAGUCGGAACUUGCGUCCGAGGCCCUGAGGGGUCGGGCGAGUCGGAACUUGCGUCCGAGGCCCUGAGGGGUCGGGCGAGUCGGAACUGGCGUCCGAGGCCCUGAGGGGUCGGGCGAGUCGGAACUGGCGUCCGAGGCCCUGAUGAUCGUGCUACCGAUCCAACUCAACUUGAAACGCGCCCAAGAAUCGUGCUCGUGCCGCGCCCGGCCGCCACUUGUUCAUGCUCGACACUAUAUCUCCGACGUGUUUAGUUGCAAAAUAUUUUGAAAAAUAUGAAUAAUACAAAUUUCGUUUGUAUUUAACAAAUAUUGUGGCUCAAAAGAUUCGUCUCAUCAAUUCCAACCAAACUGUGUAAUUAGUUUUUAUUUUUAUCUAUAUUUAAUACUUCAUGCAUACGUCUAAAUAUUCGAUGAGAAUCUGAAAAAUUUUGCAAAAUUUUUUGAGAACUAAACAAAGCCCAAACCAGAAGAGUUGAAGGGAAGUUGCGCCGGUGAAAAGCUGCAGCAAGGCCCCCAUCUCCUCCUGCAAUCAACCAUCCUGCAGUUGCCAUCACAUCACUAAGGCUGCUAGUGCGACAUCGAUGAACUCAAACCAUGGGCCUUGUUUACUUCCACCCAAAAUCUAAAAACUUUUCAAGAUUUCCCAUCACAUCGAAUCUUUAGACACAUAUAUAGAGUAUUAAAUAUAAAUAUAAAUAAAAACUAAUUGUACAGUUUGGUCGAAAUUUACGAGACGAAUUUUUUGAGCUUAGUUAGUCCAUGAUUAGACAAUAAUUACCAUAAACAAACGAAAGUGCUACAGUGCCGCGAAAAAAUUUCGCCAAAGAACUGAACAAGGCCACACGGGCUGCGAGUACUCGUACACGCACUUGAUUAUAAUAUAUACGCACGGGCCCAGGGAGGGAGGCCGAAAUCACCGAUACAAAGUGAUACUCGCGCGCGGAUAUAUGCGCACGCAGCGACUCUGUUUAGCCAGUUGAGAAAUAUACCAAGUGAAUUUAUCAAGUUGUUGGAGAAGUGUUUUUGAGUUUUUGCUAAAAUAAUAAGAAUACCAAGUAGAUUUACCAAGUUGUUGGAGAUGCUCAUCAUAAAGUCCUUUCUGUUGUUUGCUUUCUCAAUUUACCAUCAUACAAUAAUUAUACUAUAAUCCAGUAAAUCCACCUCUAGUGGCGGCAGCAUGGAUGACAGAGCACAUACGGAAAAUACCAUAGGUCCAUAGUGGUGGCCACAGCUAUACAAGAAAAUAUUGAUCCCAGACUAUCAAUUGGGUGCAAAAUAUUCAGUGCAAAUUACAACAACUGAUAAGUCAUACUGAUAAGUUCAAUCACAGAGACUAAGAUACAAACAUAAUAGUCAAAAACUCAUACAAAAUGAUAAACUUCAGAUUUGUUCGCGCACAAAGUCCUAAAAUUUAUCAUUUUUGUAUGUAUUUUUUACCAAACAAGUUUGCACCUUAUCUUUUACACGAUAAAAAGGCACAUGUAUGGACACAAUAUAGAUGUGCAUCAUUUAUAAAACGUCUAAGUAAGUUUUUUUUUCUAAAAAAGGGGUUUUCAAGUUUACUAUAUGGAGUCAUGGGAUUGUGUGGCCCGAAUAUUUCACCAAGCUGCACCAUCACACAACACAUAUAUGGAGGUGGGGUGAAAACUUUUUUCUCAAAUAUCCAAAAUAUUUACCCAUUACUGUAAUUAGGAAGAAGAGUUGAAUCAUACAAACGACGUACUCUGACAAGCGCCCUAAGAAGUCUACCGGUUACACCAUAGGCAGGACCUUCCAAGGCUACAGAUUCAAGUUUCGAUAUUACAUAAAUGGUACACAACAAAGCUAUGGUCUACACGCUCCUAUUUUGUCAUCCGAGAAGAGCGCUCCGGGGUACAAGCGACUCUUCUCUACCAACCCUAUUGUUGGUUGCUGGAAACAACUUGUCAAGAGCUGCAACUUAUUAUGUUCCCUAUGAAGAUGGUGUCAUAUGCUUGCUUGGACACGGAUGAAGUUGGUGUCGCUUGUGCAUGAUGCCCAUCCUCUUCAUGAGAAGUACCUCACCCCACUUGGAGGCAGGUAUGUGCACCAGCGGUUUAGCGACAAUCUGUCUGCUCCUUCUUCGCAAGGCCUUUUGGUUGUCGUUGUCUGCCUUGGUGGACUCAUGAUCAUGGGUGACUUUCGCUUGAGCUACACCUCCUUGGUAAAUCGUGUGAGGUGUCAAGCGGCCUUGCAUGGCAUAGGCGUCGCAUCAUCGGGAUCGAGCAUGGCUCAUUAUCUGAAUGGUCGUCCUUUGUCAGUGUAGAGGGGUCUGAUGUGCCUUGAACGCCUGGAUGGUCGUCCUACGUUGGCAUAGAAGCAUUGUAAGGUGUUUUGCCAGCUUGAACCCAGGUGGCUAGACCUCACCAUCCUCCCUUGGUGCCUCAACACCUGCGACAAUGGCCUGUCCCAUUUGUGGAGGUGUGUCCCGCUUAGGUGAUAAUGGAGGCGAGUCCGUCGUGCAUUGAGGUGCCAUCAGCAGAGAACAGGAGUCCACCAAUGGAGCUUGAACUUUCUCAGAGGCGGUUGUCGUAGCCAGCAGGCACCCAGGCACUGGUGUGAUUCUUGGUUGGCUCAUGACAAGCGAGAUGGUGAUCUUGUCCAACAUCAGGUCAACCGAGAUGACCCAAGCGGGAGGCCCUUUGCCAUUGCACAGUGCCACCACCAGCAGAUUUGGCUCAAGGAAGUAGUGUGCGACAGUCGAAGUAGCGUCAUCGGUGUAAUUGGUAGGCAUGCCAAGCUGAUGUCUAUUGCCAACUCACUCUAGUGCCAUCGGUGUCAUCUCUGGCUAUGACUGAUGCCAUCAGAGCCUCCCCAUGGCACCCUGCGUGGUCCCAUCCAAGAUCGGUGGAUUGCCGAGGGGUGCGUGCUAGAAGGCCAGUGGGUUGUCAGCAUGAGCUGAGUGUUGAGGCAGGCCACCACCCUUCGCCUCUAACUUGGACUGCUUGUAGUCCCUCACAAGGUGGUGGAAUCCGUGGCAGUGCAGGCAACGCCGUGGCAACUGGCAAGUCACUACUUGGUGCGAGUUGGAGAGAUAGUUGAAACAUAUGUCACGGAGCUAUGCGGGGAUCUUCUGAGCCUAUACGCACAAACCUAGGGCACGACAAGGCUCAACCAAGGCAUCUGCAGGUCGCGUCUCCUGCUAGACUAGGAUCUCCCGCCACCCAUCGACAUUAGGGGUAGAGAUCUGUCUAAGGGCUCCAAGGCGUUGGCAGGUGACACGACCAUCCACUGGUCGAGCAGGCAGGCCAUGCACCUACUAGGGGCAUGGUGGGCUGUGCUUCCUCUGCCUUCACAUAGGUCCAUGUCCAACAUCUGUUCCGUUGUGCCCCAGAACAACGGUUGAACGAGUCUAGGCGCGGACAUGGGAUGCAGUUGCCUGGUUCGCCGGGUGACGAGCGGCCUCCAGGUUGGUUGUAGGGUGUUCAUCAUUGGUCUCCUUGCCAUCAUCGUCUGUCCACCGAUGAUGCUUCGUGCACCCUCCUGAGGAGCAUUUUAGGAAGAAUGGUGUCGUGACCGUUGAGAGGGAGGAACUUGGGGGCAGCCAGCGGCACCAUGGCAGGCCUCAAAGGCCCAUACUUGGGCCCAGUUAGCGUGGCGAUGAUGUCGGUAGCAGCGGGUCUAGGGCUCGUGCCAGCUCCAACUUCUGUGUGCUGAGCCAUCAUGGUGGUGGCAGCAUCAUCUGCCCUAAGGUGGCGGAGGUGAUGUCGACGCGCUAGAUCUAGCCUUCUCACAUGUGUGUGGGGUGACCAUGGCGGCAUCACCUCUCUCCAGUGGCAUAGAGGCAGGAGGGUGCUGGUGACGAAGCCAACCAUCGACACUCGUCGUGAGGUCUCUAGUGGCGGCGGCGGCUUUAGCGCCGGUGUGGAUGGCGUGGGCCCUAUGGCGGAGGCAGCGGCCAUGUGGUAUCCUCGCAAGCGGCUAAGGCAUCUUGGUGCACGGGUUGGUUGGAGUCGAAGGGGGGGAGCCGGUCUCCGGCGUGGGGACACGGACCGGGAGCAAUAUAGUCUGGGAGGUGGCGGAGUCCGCUCCAGCGCCGGAACUCACGAGGGCUGAUGGGGAGGGGAGGGGAAGGGAGGGGGAGUGAGAGGGGGCAGGCAGUAAGGAAAUUCUAUUAUCAAAUAUCAUAGAUGGGGAAGUGUAGUUGUCUCUUGAAAUAGACCUUGUAACUUUGGGCAAGAGAAUAUUGCACAGCUAUAUAGCAAGACAAUAGGAUUAGUUACAACUCCACUAGACUCACUCACUGUGUGUAUGGGUGAUGAAAUCCUGUCAGCCAAAGGAUGACUGAAGCUGCACACAAUGUGUGAAUGCUCUCUUCUUAAGUAAUCCAUUUAGACCUUGUUUAGUUCGUGGAUGAUGUUUCAUGGGAUAUCAGAAGGGGUAUUUGGAUACUAAUUAAAAACUAAUUACAUAACUCGACUGGAAACCACGAGAUAAAUUUAUUAAGCCUAAUUAAUCCAUCAUUAGCACAUGCGUGUUAUGGUAGCAAUUCUGACUAGUUAUGGACUAAUUAGGUUUAAAAGAUUUGUCUCGUGGUUUCCAUGUAAACUGUGCAAUUAAUUAUUUUUAUCUAUAUUUAAUGCUCCAUGCAUAUGUCCAAACAUUCGAUGGGCGGAAUAAAAAGUUUUUAAGUGGGAACUAAACAGACGUAAUUCUCUGCAACUGCAUUCAAUGGACCUGAUGAAGCAAUUUAACUUAUUUUUCCAAUGUAUUCACGUGGGACUAUGGUCCUCUAGCGAGUCAGCCCCAAGUAUGAUAUCAAAGCCGACUGAGAAUCUGGUUGUCUACAUGCAUGCACAACGAAAUUGUCUGUAUUGGGAAUUUUGAGGUAAAAAAUGAGCUAAGAGGAUAACCUAUUGGCAAACGUCAACAAUGCAGUGUAGUCGCCCAAAUCAAUUUUGCAGUAUGCUAUUUCUGUCACUACAUACCGCAACAUCAGGGGGUGUUUUUGGAUGUAGGGACUAAGGGUCUGUUUGGUACAGUUUAAAACAGUUUCAUGAGCUGUUGUGAGCUGUUUUUUUUUGUCAAACACUUAUUUCCAAAACAGCUUCAUGGGUGAAGCUGUUUUUUCUCUCCUCUCGCAAAGACAUAAGUUGGGAUGAAGCUGAAAAAAUAGUUUAUUGCAGCUCUCUCUCUCAUUUCUCUCUCUCAACUAUGUAUGAAGUAGUUGGUGAAGUUAUUUUGCCAAACAUUUUUUCCAAAACAGCUCAACUUCAUCUAGAAAGUCACUCAUGAUGCUAUUUUCUAAAAAACAGCUUUACUAGUGAAGUCGAGCUGUGCCAAACAAACCCUAAGUUUAACAUGUGCACAUCGAAUGUUAUAUUGAGUGUUGCAUGGGAUGUUCGGAUCCUAAUAAAAAACAAAUUACAAAUUCCGUUAGGACUCCGCAAGAUAAAUUAAUUAAGUCUAAUUAACCAAUCAUUAGCAUGUAUUUACUGUAGCACUACCUUGUCAAAUUAUAGACUAAUUAGAUUUAAAAAAAUUUGUCUCAUAAAUUAUUUGUAAUUUGUGUAAUUAGUUUUUUAGUCUAUAUUUAAUAAUUCAUAUAUGUGUAUAAACAUCUGAUGUGAUCAGUGGCGGAGCGUGCAGUCAAGCAUGGGGAGGCAGUUAAGCUAGUACUGUUGAAAUUCAAAGUCUGGAUCCAGAAAAGCAACUUCUCUUGAGACAUGAGAGACUUUGUUGUCUAGUACGCGUGAGGCACAACACCUGACAAAGCACAAAUGCAGACUUUGCAAUGAUCAGCGCUUGCAGGAAGCUGGGGCAACAAGCGCCCAGCUUCGCCUCCACUACCUUUCGCUAGUGGAUGUGAUAGGGACUAAAUUUUAGUUGGGAACCCAAAGACCACUAAAAUUCGUCAGCUAUUGUUCUCCUUUAGUUCAGAGUUUCUUGAUGAACGAAAACUGAAAAGUUUAGCUCAAACUGUUUUCAGCUACUUACUAGAUUUUUUUGCCUGCAUAGUCGUGUGCAAGUAGAAUUUAUGACUAAGUGGAUUGUCCUCCUACAUUGCAAACUUGCAGUAGUAACAAGCAAAUAUUUUUCUUGGCAACUACACCAAAUUUGAGAACCUGAAAUAUCUCGGCGUGACACAAUAAAGAAGGUCAUCUAGUUAAGUUUUGAGUAGUACAAGACCAUAAUCUGCAAGUAUACUUUGGCGUCUCAUUAACGUCAUCAGUAGCAAGGGUCUUUGCACAUGGAAGAAUAAGGCUCAAUGUGUGACUUUACAUAGCACAAUAUAUAAAUUUUUCAUGCCAUAAAUACUAGACACUUCAGUUUGUGUGUCUGCUUAUUUCUGGUCUGAAGCUCCGAACAGUAAUUUUGAUAUAUGGGAAUUAAACCUCAUGGAAUGGCAACAAGACCACGUUUUACAUGCAUGAUACGCAUGGAUUCACUCGAAUCAUGCCAGGUUGCCAGUCCGCCGGACAAAGCCUUAUUUAUUUUGCAUGAAAAAAAAAGGAACUGGAAAGAAAACACAAUCUCCGUACAUAGAAAAUAUGUAUAAGGCCACCCGGGAAGGGGAGUCGCACCCCAAUCCAGAAAAUUUAGUUGUAGGCGUCGGGGUUGGCGACGAGGUAGGCCUCGGCACCCUUGAAAAUAGCAGUGAGUGCCUCCUUGGCCUUGGCUUCCUCGUCCUUCUCGUCCACGCCCGGCAGCAGCUUGUAGGUCGACUCCACCUUCACCACGCUGCCGCCGUCGGCCGCGGGCUCCACCUUGAUGUGCGACGCCGCGGUCUCGACGGCAACGCCUAUGCCGCCGCCCUCGACGAGCGUGUUCUUGCACUCGCACUUGUCCAUGUCCAGGAAAUCGAGCCUCUCCUUCAUGAAGCUGAACGGCAUGACUGCAAAAGCGAUCGCACGUCAGGCGCUAGCUGUUUGAUCGAUGAUCAGGCGAGAACAUCAUGUUGGUCUGGGCAUGCUGCGGACACUUACAUGAGGUGAAGUUGAACUGCCUGACGCUGCCAACGCCGCCAUCGCCCUCCACGGGGUGGGCGCUGGUGACGACGUGGGAAGCGACCUUGGGCGCCAGGUUGUGCCAGUCAAUAACGGCGGCGCGGAACAGGCGUGGCGCGGCCACCGGCGAAGGGAUCUCGAGGGUCCAGCUGUUGGCGGAGGCCAUUACGACUUCAGUGAUGCCGAUCGACUAAACUUGUGGUAGCUGAAGCUGCUUAGGUGCUCAGCUCUGAGCGUGGCAGUGCUGCUGGUGGUGGUUCUAGGAUGGCAGCUUCUCUGCUUGCGUUGCCAUGAGAGUGGCGGGCUGAGGGCUUUAAAUAGGCCGUUAUGGUCCGUCCCGUGAGGAUGAGAUCGACGCCCGGGAGUCGUCGGCGGCUCUUCCCACUUGGGUUGGCUUGGCACGGCAUCGUCUCGUCGCCUCGGCGGUCCAUUAGUCCAUUAUUAUAAUAUAUGUUGCCGGGGUUGCAGACAAAUGUUAGGAAACGUGCUGUCACUCCGUCAACGUUCAACAUCAAGAAGGUGCGGAAGUAGAGCGUGUGAGGAAGGACCGAAGGAGCCGCCAGGGGUCCACCGAUGCCACCCCUGUUAUCAAUAAUCAAGGAGAUCUGCGAUGCAUAGAAAUAAUUUGUAUUGUUUUCUACAAACUUUGGUAUUUAUAUCUCAGAUAUCUGCUUCCAUAGAAAUAUCUAAAAUAUAUUACUUUAUCUAAUAAAUUACAUUGUGUGUUAGCAUUUUCUCAAAGUAUUUUAAAGGGUGUUAAAUUAGCACGCAAGGUUCUAAUGCAUAUGUAUAAUCAACAACACUUAUUGGCACUUGAUAACCGCUUUAACCAUGAUUUUCUCCUCUUCAUGGUACGACUAUCUAUCCUAAACCCAAUUAUAUCCUCUAUAGUGUCUUGAUUAGUGAAACACAAAUAGCUUUAUCAUAUAUCUUUGUCUUGAGCCUAUUUUUGUUUCUCUCUUUCUUCUUUUCCAAGUUGGAGUACAUGAUCUUCACAUUUGGCCACCUCUAUCAUCAUGGAUGUCAUCAUCUAGCUCCACCAUUAGUGUGUACCAAUCCUAUCUCAUAUACACUUAGAACAAUGAUUACUACACUUAGGUUUCACUAAUUAUUUAAAACCAAAAUAGCGCUUUCACAUAUCAAGUUUAAUCACACACAACAUCUGCUUCUUGCCCUUUUCUCUUUCAUGAAAUGCAAGCAUUCAUACACCGUCGGUAUGUUGUCCGUAAUGAGUCUCCUUAGCACAAACGUUGACUAUUCUUUCGAAAUCACCUUGGGUAAAAUAAUCUGUAGUCUGUUUGCCACUGUCUUAGAAGCAAUCUUGUAUAUUACAUUACAUAGACUGAUAGGUCAAAACUGCCCUAGCUUGACCGGCUUCUCCACUCUUGGGAUCAGUACUAUGCAUAUGCUAUUUAUCAGGGAGGAUCAUCCUCCCCCUCCAACACACGCAACAACACAACACACACAUCCUCGUUACAUAAGUCCCAAUGCAGCUGAAAAAAUGUCUUCAUCUUGAACAUUUAAAGCACAAUCCUGAUCUCCUCCUUUCAUAUACAAGCAAGCGUCCUGACUACUUGUAUCACUCUUUUGGUGUUGCACUAUCGUUAUUAGCUUUAUUAUUAACUCCUUUCGUAUCCAAUCUCCAGAAUUAAGCAAAGGUUUGUUUGCUUUCUCAAUUUACCAUCAUAUGAUUAUUAUACGAUAAUCCAAUAAAUACAUCUCUUUUAUUCAUCCUGCAAAAGGUCUAGUGGUGAGAAUAUGGACAGAGCUUAUAAAGUGAAUAUACAAUCAUAGUAUAUGUACUUCGCCACUAAAGUUAAUAUACAAAGAAAUUGGAGGGUGAUUCAAAGAAAUUGGAGAGUGAAUCUCUUCUUUCAAACCUCCGAAGAAACUACUCACAAAGUAAACAUCAUCAUAGGAGCUAUUGUACAAUAGAAUUUGAUGCGCAAGCUGUUCAAACUGCUCAAAGUACUCUGUGACCGAAGUAAGUUUAUCCAAUUGUUUCAUGCAUAAUUGAUAUUGGUCACGGUCAAAAUAACUGCAAACUGCAUCACAAGAGCAGGCCAAGAUGUGAAACAACCAUGCAAAUCUGCAGAUUGUAACCAAGUAGCAGCGGUCCUCCAAAAUUCAAUGUGGCAAACCUGGCUUCAAUGUCUUGCUGAUAGAGUACACUUCAAAAUAGAUCUCACAAUGAUCUACAACCACAAAUUGUCACUAUCAAAUUUGGGGAAAUCUGAUUUGAGCUUUAGGCUAACCCAAGAUGUAUGAGAAUACAAAUGUUGUGAAAAAUCCAUGUAUGACAUAGGGUGUUCUAGAGGCAUACCCAUGACCGGGUUUGACGGGUAGGGUCCAAGGAUCCCUCUUUCAACAUCCCAAUGAGACAAUUCAUGGAGAUGCUCCUGAGCCACUCCAUGGAUGACACAAAUGAACCUGUCCCCCAUGUUUAGAGCCAAGUUGAGGUCCAACGCACCAUGCUACAGCGGGCUGAAGCAGAGUAGCCGAGGCGACGGAGGCAGUAGUGGUGGCGGUGGUCAUGCCUCUAACUUUUGAACCCAUCUAGUCAUCUUCGAUGUGGUCUGCAAUAGCAUCCCCAACGAUGAAUCUGCGGUGGUCUUCCAUGAAUCGAGGUUGGUGAACUUGCCAAGGAGCUGCUAAAGUAGCUUGAUACCCUAGAACUAGUUGUUGGUAAAAAAUCAGCCUACUCUAAGUACCACUUGUGAUGAACUAAGAUAGCUUAGGAAGAAUUAGACAUAGAUUCAACAAGAAUUGGAUAGAAAUUAGAGGAAUUUUAGCGCGGCGGGAGCCCGCGUGGAGGACCCUAGUUUUAGAGUUUGGGUUUCAAUUAACAAAACAUGUUUGUUACACGCUAUUUUGGCCCCUUUUAAGGCAACAUAGUGUCGGCUUUCCAUUCAGUUUGGGUCCACCUGUCAUUCCCUUAAGCUUUCAUGUCCACUAUAUGUUCCUCUUUUUUUGUUGGAUCCCAAACAUCUACGUCGGGCCAGCUUCCAUCACCGUCUACACAUAUGCCGCGGAGUCAUAACAAAUGCGUACUCUCACCUUUGUAGUGAACACUAUAACUUGUGGAGUCUUCAUAUUAUUCAAAGGCAACUGCUCCAGAACCCUUCCUUUUAAAAUUAUACACGCAUCUCAAAGCAUCAAAUCUAAUUAAAUAAAUGUUUUUUCUUAAUUAUUAUUACCUAUCUAGGUGUUGCAUGGGCCUGGCCCUUCCACGUCCAGCCCAAACCCAAUCCAUUUUAAUAUCAUCUAGAUCUGGAAAAAGAAUUCGAACGUUUGGAGUGCUUAUGCUGAGAUGACGCAGCUACUCUGAUGGGUCUCGCCGAGUCGCACAUGACGCCCCCUUGUCAUCCUCCAUUACGCUGAUGACGACACAAUGACACUCCUAUCCAACGCGGGCGGCGAUGAUGACAAAUACAUGUGAUGUUCAUCGGGUUUUACAGCACGGCAUUAUGAUCAACUCCACUCCACCUGAUCCUGCGACGAUAUGUGUAGGACACAGGUUACGAUGGGCUUCAACGGAACUGGUGGCUUCUUGCGGAACUCAGGGCUGUUUAGUUCUGAAAAAUUUUGCAAAGUUUUUAAGAUUUCUUGUUAUAUUAUUUUUUGCAGUACAUGUAUGAAAUAUUAAAUAUAUAUAGAUAAAAAAUAAUUAAUUAUAUAGUUCGUCUAUAAUUUAUGAGACGAAUCUUUUGAGAAUAGUUAGUCUAUAAUUUAAUAAUAAUUGUUAAAUACAAACGAAAGUACUAUAGUAACCGAAACCAAAAUUUUUCACCAAAUAAACAGCUCCAAGCGAAUCGAACGCGCACCAGGGAUAGGAAAGAGAUUAGUUAGGCACGGGCUGGGUUGGAUAUGGUCAGACUCAUGAGGGGCCCAUGUGACAAAGAAUUAAGAAAAAUAUUUAGUUCAUCUGAUUGCCUGUUUUAAGAUCCGCGCAAUUUUAAUAAAGAAGAGUAUUGUAGCAGUUCUCUUAUUCGAAAAGUAAUUUCAAAUUUCAACAACAACAUAUUCUGCAGAAUGAAAACUCUCCAAAUAAAUAUCUAUUCUAAAUGAGCAAACAUUUCUUAUUCUGUCAAACUUGCAUAGGAUUCCAAAACAUAAUACCUCGUAUAAUCUAUGUAUGCCCUUUUCCUUCCCACAUAGAAAAGAACCAUGAGGGUAUACAUAAUCACACAAACAAAAAGCAUCACAUACCACUUAUAGCAUCUCAAGUCCACACACCACACACUGCAUAGGGCAGCUUUAUUUUGUUUUGAAUGAAAAAAAAAGAGGAAAACUCCAGGAAAGAAAAAGAAAAAUUAAAUCGAAACUUCAGGAAGGGGAAUCGCAUCCGAAUCCUCUGAUUUAGUUGUAGGCGUCGGGGUUGGCGACGAGGUAGGCCUCGGCACCCUUGAAAAUGGCGGUGAGUGCCUCCUUAGCCUUUGCUUCCUCGUCCUUCUCGUCCAUGCCCGGCAGCAGCUUGUAGGUCGACUCCACCUUCACCACGCUGCCGCCGUUGGCUGCGGGCUCCACCUUGAUGUGCGACGCCGCGGUCUCGAUGGCAACACCGAGGCCGCCGCCCUCGACGAGCGUGUUCUUGCACUCGCACUUGUCCACGUCCAGGAAAUCGAGCCUCUCCUUCAUGAAGCUGAACGGCAUGACUGCAAGAGCGAUCGAUCCCACGUCAGGCGCUAGCUGUUUGAUCGAUGAUCAAGCGAGAACAUCAAGUCGACUGGGCAUGCUGCGGACACUUACAUGAGGUGAAGUUGAACUGCCUGACGCUGCCAACGCCGCCGUCGCCCUCCACGGGGUGGGCGCUGGUGACGACGUGGGAAGCGACCUUGGGCGCCAGGGUGUGCCAGUCAAUAACGGCGGCGCGGAACAGGCGUGGCGCGGCCACCGGCGAAGGGAUCUCGAGGGUCCAGCUGUUGGCGGAGGCCAUUACUUCAGUGAUCGGCCGAUCGACUAAACUUGCGCUAGACGUCGGUGCUAGGCUCUGUGCGUGGCAGUGCUACUUGCAGCUUCUGCUUGUGUUGCCACGAGAGUGGCGGACUGAGGGCUUUAUAUAGGCAGUUACGGCGGGGGCUGGUGGCGUCCCGUGAGGAUGAGAUCGACGCCCCGGGAGUCGUCGGCGGCUCUUCCGAGUUGUGUCGGCUUGGCACGGCACCGUCACUCAGUCGCUCGUCGGUCCAUUAGUCCAUUAUUAUAAUAUACUAUGUUGCCGGGGUUGUAGACCAAUGUCAGGAAACGUGCUGCCAUUCCGUCAACAUUCAACAUCUAGAAGGUGCGGAAGCAGAGCGUGAGGAAUAAGGACCGAAGGAGCUGCCAGGGGUCCACCGAUGCCACCAUCGGCACCAAGGAGAAGCAGCCGUCGGAGUCGGGGUUGUAGAGGGCUGUCACGUCCGUUGUCGUGGUCGGGGUGAGGGAGGGCUGCCGGAUCCGCCGUAGCCACCUGCUUCCUGAGAUCCAUGGGAGAGGACCCGCCGCUGGCCGAGGUUGAGGAGCUGCCGCCUCUGUGCGGCCAACUUCACCACGGACCUCUGCCGCAGCGGGAGCUCGCGGAGAAGGGAAGGGAUGGUUGGGGAAGGUGUGGGUCCCAUCAUAAUUUGCGAAUAAUUUGACAUUUUUUUAAUACUUGUAGUUUAUAGUGACAAUUUAUAUUUUACUAGUAAAUAUGUCCGUGCGUUGCAACGGGAUAUAUAAGUUUUAGUAUUGGAGAGAACAAAUGACCAUAAAAAUUUUUCAUUAUUUAAUAAAUAGUAUAGUAGGCUACCAUAGUUAAAAUUUAUGGCACUAAAUCCACAAUACUAAUAUAAGUUGUUUGGGCGCCCUUCCUAAAAAUUAUGAUGUUUCUAGUUUCAAAUUUUAUUACCUUGAAUGAAGGUAAUCAGUUUUCUAAUUUUUUUUUUAGUAGCAUCUCUAUUUGCUUUCAUACCAAAAUUGUGAUCUUGUGGGUCUCCACAUCAAUUUUUUUCUUUGGGAAAAACUGCCAGCUCAAGCGAUUCUCGCUGCACGUGGCACAUGCGACCUGAUGCUGCUUGGUCUGGCAUGGGAUAGCUCGCUUGAGCUCGCUGUGCGCAAGCUGCGUGAAGCGGUUUGAAGCUCAGGUGGAUUCGAUUUUUGGAACGUGGUGCUUCUUCAAUUCAGGGCUCCAAGCCUCGUCUCCGGUUAAAUAGCAGAAGUAUGCUCGUUGUCUCUGUCUCGUCUCGCCACUAUCCUGUUCCACACCUAAAGUGAUGGCACCCUCGUCCUCUGUCCGUCCGUGUGCUGAGAAUCUCGGAACCCGUGGUCAUGUGAUGUGGGGACGAAGAACCCAGCCAAUAGCUUGGUCAACUUGGGCAACCACGGACAGCGCAAAAUCGUCCGUGUCAGCCCGGCUCAGCCCAACUACAGCCCACUAUCCCACCAGUAUAUAAUGCUUCAUCCAAAAUAACCCUAGGUCUAAUAUUUACUCACCAGCCGCCGCCACACCUGUGCACACACCUGCUCCUCUUCUCCUCCACCCAUGGGCGUCCUCUCCAUCCCUGCUCUAGUGAGGUUGUGUGGAGAUUGCCCCAAAACUUUGCUCGCUUGGAUCUCUAUGUCUCUCCACCCUUGCCUUGCUCUCUGACUUGUAGCUCCACUCAUGGACGAUUGGGGCUUAUCGAGCUAUUGGGCAACACGUCCAUCACCGUGCUCUUGUGCCACGCCGGCGGAUCCCCACGUCGACAGCCAGCGGCGUCCUCGAAUUCUCCCUAGCGCCACCUAGAAGAUCUCCCACGCCAUCAUCCUCAUCAAGGGCGUCGACAGCUUGCUACUAUUUGUUUCGAUUUUUUGCGCUGUUAGAUUUUAUUUCUACUUGAUUCGAGGGCAGAUUCCAGGAGUGCUAAGACUAUCUACAACAAUCAUCAGGGUAGCGCUACAAGUAAAAGGUUCCAUACCUAUUUUUAGUCUUCUCCAGCAACGAGACCUAAAAGAAAACACUCUCUGCAAAUGGGUCUCGAGGAGAGAGAAUACCCAAAUUUGGGUUAUGCCUCUCCUGAUACCUAAAAUGGGUUUUCUGUAUGGGUACUCUGUUGGAGGCUAUAGUUAUUGCGUUGGAGACCCAUUUUGGGUUUGUGUUCCCAAAUGGGUCUCCUAUUGGAGACAACCUAAGCAGAGAGGAUUUGUUAUUAUAUAGAAAACAGAGGUAGAUCCAAACGAAAAUCUUGGGCUUCUUUUUCGAUUUGGGUUCGAUUUGUAAUUCUUUUUGUUAUUUGACUUGUUGGCUUCUCCUUCCUUUACUUGUUUGCCCUAUUACUUUGUACAUGUAUAGGUUCUACAUGAACUUUGUUUCCAAGCUCUACUGAAAACGUAUAAGAUUAGGUAAAAGGAGGCUUGGCCGUGAGUCAAAGCCGGUACAGGCAAGAUGCCAGACGAAGGCGGACAGGGCGAGCGGACAGAAAAAAGGGCAGAAAAAAAAGACAGGAUGAAAUUUUGGCUCUUUAUAGAUAGGUAUAGAUUCUGAAAACUUUGGCACAUAUGUAUCUGAGAUUUGCAAUCUAUAGAAAUACCUAAAAUACAUCACUAUAUCCAAUAAAUUAUAUUGUAUUUUUAAAGGUAUUAAGCACACUAGGUUCUAAUGCAUAUGCAUGAUCAACAACACCUAUUGGCACUUGAUAACCGCUUUAAUCAUGAUUUUUCUAUCUUCAUAGUAUGGUCCUAAACCCAACUACAUCCUCUAUGAUGUCUUAAUUGGCGAAAUAAAAAUGACUCUAUCAUAUACCUUUGCCUUGAGCCCAUUUUUCUUCUCUCUUUCUUCUUUCCAAUUUGGAGUACUUGAUCUUUACAUUUGCCAACUCCAUCAUCAUGGAUACCAUCAUCUAGCUCCACGUGUACCAAUACUAUCUCAUAUAUAGAAUAAUAAUUUGUACACUUAGUUUUCAUCAAUUAUCCAAAAUCAAAUUAGCGUUUUCACAUAUCAAGUUUCAUCACACAACAUUUGCUUUCUCUUGCCUUGUUCUCUUUCAUGCAAUGCAAGCAUACAUACAUCAUCAGUAUGUUGUCUGUAAUGAGUCUCCGUGCCACAAAUAUUGAUUGUUCUUCCGAAAUCACGCUGGAUAAAAUAAUUUGCAAUUUGUUUGCCACCAUCUUAGAAGCAAUCUUAUAUAUUACGUACUGAUAGGCUGAAACUGCCCUAGCUCGACCGGCUUCUCCACUUUUGGGAACAAUACUGUACAUGUGAUAUUUAUCAUAGAAGGAUCAUCCUCCCCCUCCAACACAGGCAACAACAUAACACACACCUUCUCACCACAUAAGUCUCAAUGCCGCUGAAAAAUGAGCAGGAAAACCAUCCGACCCCGGUGUCUUCAUCUUGAACAUUUGAAAAGGCACAAUCCAAAUCUCCUCCUUUCGUAUACAAGGCGAGCAUCCUGACUACUUACAUCACUCUUUUGGUGUUGCACUAUCAUUAUUAGCCUUAUAAUUAAGUCCUUUCCUCUCCAAUCUCGAGAAUUAACUAAUUAAGUAAAGGUUUGUUUGUUUUCUCAAUUUACCAUGAUAUGAUUAUUACACUAUAAUUCAAUAAUACGCUUCUUUUUAUUCAUCAUAUAAAUAUAUCUAGUGGCGAGACCGCGAGAGUAUGGACAAAGCCCAUACGAAAACUAUCAUAGUGGUGGCAGAGGCAUGAGAAAUUAUUCAGUGCAAACUAUCAAUUAGGUGCAAAAUUAUUUAGUGCAAACUAUCAAUUGAGUGCAAACAUAAACCCUCAGUAGAUGUACUUGGCCACUAAUGUUAAGAUACAAAGAAACUGGAGGGUGAUGCAAAGAAAUUGGAGAGUGAAUCUCUUCUUUUAAACCUCCAAAGAAAUUAGUCACAAAGUGAACAUCAUCAUAGAGCUAUUGUACAACAGAAUAUGAUGUGCAAGCUAUUCAAACUGCUCAAAGUACUCUUGACUGAAUUAGUGUACCGAUGUUUAUUCCAUUGUUUCAUACGUAACUGAUAUUGGUCAUGAUCAAAAUAAUUGCAAACCGCAUCACAAGAGCAGGCCAAGAUGUGAAACGACCAUGCAAAUCUGCAGAUUGUAACCAAGUAGCAGCGGUCCUCCAAAAUUCAAUGCGACAAACCUGGGCUUCAGUGUCUUGCUCAUAGAGUCAUCUCACAAUGAUCCUUCCACAACCAUAAAUUAUCAUUAUCAAAUUUUGGAAAAUCGAUUUGGGCAUCAGACUAACCCAAGGUGUAUGAGAAUAGGAAUAUUGUGAAAAAUCCAUGUACGACAGAGGGUGUUCUAGAGGCACGGAUGGGGCCCAAGGAUCCCUCUGUCAACAUCCCGAUGAGGCAAUUGAUGGCGAUGCUCCUGAACCACUCCAUGGAUGACGCAGAUGAACCUGUCCCAUGUUUGGAGCCAAGUUGAGGUCUAACAAACCAUGCUGCCGCGGGAACGGUUGAAGCAGGGUAGUCGGGCGGUGGAGGCAGUGGUGGUGGUAGUGGUCGCGCCUCCAACUUUUGAAGCCAUCUAGUCGUCUCCGAUGUGGUCUUCCAUGACUCGAGGGUGGAGACCUUGUCGUUGUUGGAGUAGCUUGAUACCUUAGAACUAGUUGUUGGUCAAGAAUCAACCUAAUCUAAGUACCAAUUGCGAUGAACUAAGAUAGCUUAGGAAGAGUUAUAUGUAGAUUCAGCAAGAAAUGGACAGAAAUCAGAGGAAUUUUAGCGCCGCGGGAGCCCGCGAGGAGGAACGUUAGUUUUAGAUCGAGUUUGGGUCUCAAUUAAUAAAACAUGUUUGUUACAUGCCAUUUUGUCCCCCUUUGCGGCAACACAGCGCCGACUUCCCAUUUUGGGUCCACCUAUCAUUUCCCUUGGGCUUCAUGUCCACUAAUUAGCGACUAUGUUCCUCUUUCUUGUUGGAUCCAAACACCUCUGUUUCCAUACCAUCUUCCAUCGCCGUCUACACAUAUCCUACGAGUCAUGACAAAUGCCUACUUCUCUCACCUUUGUAGUGAACACUGUAACUCCUAGAGUCUUCAUAUUAUUCGAAAAAUCAUUUCAAAUUUCAACAAUGACAUAUUCAGCAGAAUGAAAAGUCUCCAAAUAUCUAUUCGAAAUGAGCAAACAUUUCUUACAGUCAAACUUGCAUAGGAUUCCAAAACAAAGUACCUCGUAUAAUCUAUGUAUGCCCUUUUUCUUCCCACAUAGAAAAGAACCAUGAGGGUAUACAACUAUACAUAAUCACACAAACAAAGCAUCACAAACCACUUAUAACAUCUCGUGUCCAUACACCACACACUGCAUAGAGCAGCUUUAUUUUAUUUUGUAUGAAAAAAAGAGGAAAACUCCAGGAAAGUAAAAGAAAAUUAAACCCGAACUUCAGGAAGGGGAAUCACAUCCCAAUCCACAGAUUUAGUUGUAGGCGUCGGGGUUGGCGACGAGGUAGGCCUCGGCAGCCUUGAAAAUGGCGGUGAGUGCCUCCUUGGCCUUGGCUUCCUCGUCCUUCGCGUCCACACCUGGCAGCAGCUUGUAGGUCGACUCCACCUUCACCACGCUGCCGCCGCCUGCCGCGGGCUCCACCUUGAUGUGCGACGCCGCGGUCUCGAUGGCGACGCCGAUGUUGCCGCCCUCGACGAGCGUGUUCUUGCACUCGCACUUGUCCACGUCCAGGAAAUCGAG